This 86469-nucleotide long non-coding RNA is filed under the name Citrus maxima (pomelo). RNAcentral's name for it is "long non-coding RNA (CMAX_LNC001276)". The stretch from base 37389 to 37492 matches the Rfam family "Plant small nucleolar RNA R71". Lineage: Eukaryota; Viridiplantae; Streptophyta; Magnoliopsida; Sapindales; Rutaceae. The record is from RNAcentral.
CCAUGAUGAGGGAGAGGAGGAGGAGGGUGAGGUUAUGGACGGCUGUGAUGGGCUUGAGGACGUGGGGUCCAAUGAGAGGUGAUGAUGAUGGUGAUGUUGACGUUAAUGUGUGGUAGAGGAUGGAUGUGAGGGAGAGGUAAGUGAGGAUGGAGAGAAUGAGGAAGUUUAGGGAGGAAGCUGGGGUUUGGUUUUCAGUCCAUGUGAAGUUGAGGAUUUGUGGGUGGUUUACAAGCCAAUGUUGGAGAGUUGAGGUGAUUGAAUUUGAAGCCAUGGCUGGUGUGUUUUUUUUUUUUUUUUUUGGUGGGGGGGGGGGGGGGGGGGGGAGAUUUGGAAGAGAUGAUGUUGAGAGGAGCGGGGGAGUUUAGAAAGUUAGGGAUAAUAUGAGGGUAUUUUGGGCAUAUACUGAUGUCUUAGCUUAAAUUUUGAAAAAGAAAAUAAUAAUAAACUCUUUUUUCACAUGAAUUUAAUACUCCGAGUGUGUUUCCAAGAAUUGUUCUUCUUUUUCUAUUUUUGGAUUUUGAAUCAUAAUUUUUCAAUUUAUUAAUGGCUCUUCAAUUACAAAAUAUGGAAAGAGGGGAUGGGGUGUAGUGCCUAGGCAUCUGUGACAACGGCACUUCUGGACGUGGGUUUCAUUAUUAUUAUUAUUAUUAUUAUUAUUUGGCUAUUUCUGCUCAAUCAAACUUGUGGAUUGCAUGCACUCAACGUGGAAUGGACGCAAUGGAUUUGCUGGGAUCACCCAAGCCGAAGAAGCAUGAACCUGGGACCAAUUUGUUGACAAAAAUUUAGGCAUAAAAUAUACAAAUCAAAGUCGAGUAAGAUUUAAGUAUAAUUGGGGAAUGUCUUCUACGGUGAAGUACAUCGAGUAAGGACUUCUACAAUCGCGCUAGAAAGUACAACUAAAAUCCGGUAAGUGUUUCGUAGAGCAUAAUUUUUAGGGUCCAACGUUAAGAGUAUUUUGUAAACAUUUAUAAUUAUUACUUAAAUUGAUCUAAUCUCAUACUCCAUUAUAGAAAAAAAAACUAAAAUAUCUCUAAUAAUUUUAUCAAAAUUAUUAUUUAACAAUCAUAUUUACUCUAUAAUAUCAACGUUUAUAUUAUAAUUAGAGCUAAUACUAAACAAGGACUCGAAUACGAUCAAGUAAUUAAAAGUUUUAGCUUUUUGGUAUUGCAAGAUGAUUCAAACUUAAACUAGCGAUCAAAAGUCUAUCAAAGAAAUCACAAAGACGCUUUUUUUGACAAAUCCGCAUUAGAAUUUGCAAAAUUUAACAAAGAGAGUGAAUAAGAUUCCAAAGUAAAUCAACUUUAUUAAGAAUUUUACUGGAGAAAAAUUGGAAUAUACGAAGUUGUAUCACAUAUGAUAUUUAGACAUCAAGAAAAGAAUCCAUCUAUCAGUGAACUAUACUUGCCAGGAAACACAGUGAAUACCACCACCUCCCUACUAGUUCUUCCCCUUCAACAGAGUCGACAUUCCCUUGUUUGAUGCCAAGGAGCCCAAGCCCGGAGACAAUGGCAUUCUUUGAUAUCAACCGCUUUGGGGACUUUUGAGUUGAGCUAUUGACAUCCUGAGACAGCCUGUGCCUUCUUCAAAAGGUCAUCUGACUGAAGUAGCGGAUCCGCUUCCACUCCUAGCCAAGCAAGCUUUGAUCUUUCUCCUAAUUGGACAUUAAAAACCCUGCAUGGAAUCCAUUUGAGAAGUUGAACAAUAGACAAAGUCCAACAUAUGUAGGUAGUAAAGAAGAAUUUGGACGGCAAUUACUGAUUGUUUACGCACAGGGCUGAACAAAUGGGUAUAUUAAGGCACUUAAAAGUUAGAACAAUAUUCACCACUUGUAUUUCCUUAGAGAACUAUCUCAGAGUUCAGUUAAUUUAAAACCUUCGAGAUAUAAUUAUCAUCAUCAAUCUUUUGCAGCCACAUGCGGUACUUGGAAAACUGUUUAUGGCCCCUAAAGAACUGGAAAAUCAGAGAACAUUAAGAACAAGAGACUACUAAUUUUGAUCGCGACCAAGCGUACACACUAUGAAAAUCUAAAAUUGAAUUACUCCGAAUGAAUGUGCCUCUUAACAGGAAUUGCACAAGCUAAUCCUUGCAGCCUGCGUCAUGGAGCUUCUCGCAAUGAGUAAGUGAGCCUUGAACAGUUAGCUCAAACUAAAAUGAAAUUGCUGUGGACAUGUGAAUUAAAAAUAGAUGUAAAAGCAGUUUUCUCAAAGCAAGGACAAGAUAAGAGAUUAACUCUGCUUCUUAGUUACAUUAAAAAUAACAAACAAUGAAAAAACAGAGCUAGAGAAGAACUUACCUGUGCGUUGAGACCACGUGGGGAAUGUGAGAUAUCUUCUUAGAUUUGGUUUGAGAAACUCCAUCUUCUUCUGAAAGUUCUGACAGUUCCCUAAACCCAGGCCAAUACAAUUGCAACAGAAACUGCAUGCUUUAACCAGCAUCUGAUCAUCUCCUGUUAUUUCAAGACAAUAAAAACUUAAUUGCAACACUGCAUGCUUCAACCAUUAACCUUCUCAAUUUCAACACUUCUUUUGUCCCCCGCCCAAUGCCCUUAUUAGAGUGAGUGAGAAAUUAAGUACAUAUCAGUGAUUUGGGUUGUUAGUGAAUGUUUUUCUUUAAUAUUGUUAGUGAAUGUUAGUGAAAGGUGAUGAUGGUGGUGAUGUUGAUGUUGAUGUGUGGUAGAGGAUGAAUGUGAGGGAGAGGUAAGUGAGGAUGGAGAGAAUGAGGAAGUGAGGGGAGGAAGCUAGUGUUUGGUUCUGAGUCCAUGUGAAGUUGAGGAUUUGGGGGUGGUUUACAAGCCACUAUUGGAGUGUUGCGGUAAUUGAAUAUGAAGCCAUGGCUGGUUUUUUGGGGGAGAAAGAUUUGGAAGAGAUGAUGUUCAGAGGAACGGGGGAGUUAAAGUUUUGGGAUAAUGCGGAGGGUAUUUUGGACAUAUUGUUAUCUUAGCUUAAAUUUUAAGAAAAAGAUAAUCAAUAAUAGGCUUUUUUUUCAUGUCAAUUUAAAACUCCGAGUGUGAUUCCAAAAAUUGUUUUCGUUUUUCUAUUUUGGAUUUUAAAUCGUAAAUUUAGUAAAGGAAGUUAAAUCAAGUGAUCACUUAUUAUUAUUAUUAUUUUAAUGUAAAGCAAUUUUUUUUUUUUUUGUGAUUUAAGCAAAUAUUGAGUUGCGUACUUUGACAAUAUUAAUAUUUGAUUCGAAAUUUCAUCUAUUGAAACUACAAAAAUUAAUAUUUUCUAAUAAAUCAAAACUAAAAUUAAAAGAUGACUCAUUAUCUGCCGACUGUCAUUAAACGAAGCCAUCACUCACGCAAAAAAAAAAAAUGAUAUAUUUAUUUUAACGUAAUUUCAUACCAACAAAUCAUUCUUUUCUUUCGAACAAUGACCUCUUUAAUUAUCCAGGGCUUUGUGAUAACAGCAUCUUUGGACGUGAGUGUCAUUAGACUUUUGGGUCAAUCAGACUUGUGGAUUACAUGCACUCAACGUCGAUAAUAUAGAAAUGGGAGAAAAUUAUGUCAGUAAAAUCAAGUCAGUCAAAUAAAAAUUGUGUAUUUUUGAAAAAGUUGAAAAAACCAGGUUGACAGUGCAUAAUUUUCUAACUCAGUAGAAUUUCCUAAAGUUGGAGUAAAUAAGACUCCAAAGGAACAUGGCAAUUAUUAUUAUCUAAGAAAUAAUUCAUAGCUAAAACAAAAUUAAAUUUCCUAACUCACUAGAAUUUAACUGGAGAAGAAUUGGAAUAUACAACGUUGUAUCACAUAUAGUAUUUAGACAUCAAGAAAAGAAUCCCUGUAUCAGUGAACCAUACUUGCCAGAAAACACCAGGCGAAUACCACCACCUCCUACUAGUUCUUAGGUGUCUCAGAGUUUGAGGACGACUUCCAUGCUAUGUCUCUUCGACAGGCAGCAAAAUUGGGCAAUUGACUGCAUCAACUCCAAGAAAUUUAUGCAGUCACCUUCCUCCGGACUAUCUUGUUUGACGCCAAGGAGCCCAAGCCCAGAAACAAUGGCACUCUUUGGCAUCAACCACCUGGGGACUUUUGAGCUGAACCAUGACAUCCUGAGAUGGGCUGUUGUGUAAGCCUUCUUCAAAAGGUCAUCCGUUGAUCUUUCUCCUAAUUAGACCAUCAAAACCCUGCAUGGAAUCCAUUGGAGAAGUUGGACAAUAGACAAACUCCAACACACACAGACAGUAAAGAAGAAUUUAGACCGCAAUCACUGUGGCUGAACAAAUGGGCCUAUUAAAAGUGGGAACCAUAUUCACCACCCGCAUUUCCUUAGAGAACUAUAUCAGAAUUCUGUAAAUUUGAAACUAUUCUUACAUAUUUAACUGUAAAACAAGAGAAAUUGUACUUCCGUAGCAAAGUCUCACUAUUGGUAAGUAUCUGGACUUGGAAAGGAUGCUAGUUGAUUAAGUAAAGGAAAAUUGAAAUCAGACUUUGAGGUGAUAGAUCUAUAUCCACUUUUAUAGGAACCGCAUUAACAUCAUAUGAGACAAUUAAACAAAUAACCCAGUCAAAGUUCAACAAACAAAACAUUAAAACAAGAGUAAUUUGGUCUAUCAAUGUAUAUUUAGAGAUGUCGAUCAAUAGACAAAUACGUAAACGAGAGACGGAGAGACCUCAAAGCCGUGCUUAAGAACAGUGCUACUCCAAUAACAUCAAAAUGGUUGGUGACCGCUCUAUCAAAUCCACACAAUAGCUGAUAUCUCAUGUUUUCAUAUAGUCCAAUGAAAGCACCAUAACCAGGCGCUUUAGUACUUACAGAUGGGAUUGUCACAGGUUGUUAACAUAUAUGUUUCCAUAAUAUUGAUUUUGAUGAUAACAAACAAGAUUAAGAAUGAUUAAUCUUUUAAGCUCAAAUUAUUGAAAAAUAUAUUUUAAAUAAAUCAUUAUUUUUACAUUAUAAAUGUUUUAUAUUUAAUGGAAAAAUGAUUUUAUGAAAUUGAUUAUUUUUAUUCUUUUUAAAUAAAUCAUUAUUUUCACAUUAUAAAUGUUUCAUAUUAAUGGAAAAAUGAUUUUAUAAAAUUGGUUGUUUUUCAAAGUUUAUGGUUUAAUUAAAAGAAUUUUAAAAACUUUGAAAUAAAGAAGUAUUGCUUGAAAUUUUGGUAAAAGACUUAUUUGAAAAGUGUCAUUGUAUUGUGGGCUAUAUCAUAAUUUCAUAAAGUUUUGGAAAUAGUAAGUAUUAUUUAGAAAUUCUGAAAUUAGAUUUAUUUGCAAAGUUUUAUAACGUUUUGGGCCAUAGUACAGUUAUAUAAAAUUUGAGGGUCAAACUGUUAUUUUACAAAAUAGUUCACUGUAGCAGUCACUGUAGAAAACGGCGAUCCGACAUUUGGUUAACGGCUCGCCGACUUCGAACAUAAUUGAAGAUUAGUCUCUGGACACUAACGGUGAUCCGACAUCAGUUAACGGCGAUCCGACAAUUUGAAAAAUCAGCCCAACGGUCAUAUUGACCAGUCAAACAGCGAUCCGACAUCUAGCUAACGGCGAUCCGACAGUGUGCAGAAAGUCAAUAACGGCUAGUUUUCAGCUCCAACUAGAAAUAAGCUCAAUCCAAUUCAAACAAGAAGAAUUCCAACGAUCAUCAUUGAGCAAAAUAUUGAGAAUACAACUUUCAUUGAGCUUUAAAUCUUUGUAUUCAUCUCAUUCAUUCACACAUUGAGCUUUCACUUGUGAUCAAACACAUUGUGUGAGAGAGAUUCAUUUGUAAUCCUUUUUGUAAAAUCAAGUUAAAAGAUUGUAAGUGUUGGGAUACACUUGGGAUAAGAGAUUGGGGAUAAUCUCUUGUUGUAAAGGUCCAUUGACACCUUGGAAGUCAAUUGUAAGCGUUUGAAGCCUUGGGAGGCUAGCUUAGUGAAAUCCUCAAGCCCGGUGUGCUUGGAGGCGUGGACGUAGGCGGGGAUUGCCGAACCACGUAAAAAUCCUUGAGUUUGCUUUCUCUUCCCUUACUCAUUUAUUAUUGUGCUUUUAUUGAAUUUAUUGUUUUCGAAUUUGUUAAGGCAUUAGAUUGGAUUUGUGUGUGGUUUGCCUAGGAUAAUUUUUAAAAUCCCAAUUCACCCCCCCUCUUGGGUUGCCUAGUUAGUAUUUCACAGGUAACCUGUCAGACAUCAAAUAUGGCCCAAAUUUACAAAUGGGAUUGUCGCGUUAGUGCUUAGACAGUAAACAUUUGCUCUAGUAGCCUGAUUAAACAAGAAAUCGAGACAAGUGUUCAAAAUUUUAAUCUUUAUAUAUAGCCAAAAUGAUAAUGUAGUUGAUAAUACUGACCUGAGUUAAUAAAUACGGGGCUGGUAACAAUCACAGCAUCUCAUCAUGUGGGGAAAGCCUUCACAACAGAAGACGCUGCUUGCUUUGAAGCAAUAAUAACUUUCCAAUUCCAUAAGGUAGCUUAAUGACCUUUUAGGAUAUCAGCACCAGCCUAACAAUUAUUCAUGGAAAUUCGAUUUGCAUUUAUCACCUUUAAUUUGCUCAUCUUUGCCUAGAGUAUUGUUUUUGCGUAAACUUAACAAGCUUGUAAGCCACCUACAAAUGGUUUUAAAUAUGUGCGAGAGUGUGAAUUCGAACGAAUUAAUCAAAUAUGAUGACAGAAGAAACAAAAGCAAAACAACCACAAGACGUAGAAAUAUAUUUUUGUUAUAUUUAGAGCAUCUUCUACGGUCUUCUUUUCCUUUAGCUCUGUUUCUGUGUGUGUUCAAACGCAAUGCCUCAAGGCUCAAGAUGUUAGGAAAUUAGUGGGUGAAGCAGGACCGCAGCUAAAGUAAAAUUGGAAGAAAAAUAAAGAACAAGCACAAUAGAGGACACUAGAAAUUACUUGGUUCGGCGUUUAGCCUACGUCCACGGGUGAAAACAAAAGGAAAAUAUUAUACUAGUGAAAAAGAGUUACAAGUACUGUAGUAUUUUAGCUCACUACCUAAAACCCCAAUACACCCAAACUCUCAAAUUACUAGACUCUUAAAAUCACUCUCUAAAUAAAGAAAAGAACUGAAGAACUCGAUGAUUUACAAAUGAAGGGAGCCAGCAUUUUUAUAGCCAAAAUUGGUUACUGUUUAUUUAAUAUUUUAUUAUUAUUAUUAUUAUAUUAAUUUUUCUUUUCUUUUCCUUCUUCGGCCUGACAUCUCUUUUUCUUCCCUCUUUCUUCUUUUUCCUUUUUUUCUUUGGUUUCUUUCUUUGGGCGGCACCUCUUUUUUUUUUUUCUUCUUCAAACUGCUUCUUUUUCCAUUUUCCUUUUCAAGCAUUUUGGCUGGCCCAUUUUCAACAUUUCUAGAAGAGUGGUGCCCCAUAUUCAACAUUUCUCUCACUUAGAGAUUUGAUUGAGAAUCAAUCAAUCUCCACACCAUCCUUUCUGUUUCGCCAUAGUCAUGUUACCUACGUUUCUGCUAGGCCACAAGACGAUCUACUCCAGACAAACUUGUCAGUAUUGAUUGGCUUGAUCAUAACAUCUGCUAGGUUCUCUUUCGUAUGGAUUUUCUAUAAAUCUACACUUCUGUCUUCCACUACUUCUCGAACGAAGUGAUACUUAACUCCUAUGUGCUUUGUCCUGGAAUGAAAGGCUGGAUUCCUUGCAAUGUGCAAGGCACUCUGACUGUCACAAAACACAUGAAUUUUCUGUUGUUUCUGCCUGACCUCCUCCAAUAAUCUUUGUAUCCAAAUAGCUUCCUUGCAAGCUUGUAUAGCUGCCAUGUACUCUGCUUCUAUUGUAGAUAAAGCCACAACGGUCUGCAGUUUUGAAACCCAGCUUACAGCUGCUCCUGCAAGUGCAAACACAUAAUCAGUAGUGGAUUUCCUUUUAUCAAGGUCUCUUACAAAAUCUGAAUCCACAUAGCCCCUGACAGUAAACUCUGAUCUUCCAUAACAUAAUGUAACAUCUGAGGUUCCUCUGAUGUAUCUCAAAAUCCUCUUCGCAGUUAUCCAAUGCUUUCCACCAGGAUUCGUCAUGUAUCGACUAAUUGCUCCCACUGCUUGUGCAAUGUCUGGUCUUGUACAUAUCAUAGCGAACAUCAAACUUCCCACUGCUGAUGCAUACGGUACUCAAGACAUCUCCUUCCUCUCUGCUUCAUUGCUAGGACACAUACUUGAGGAUAAUUUGAAAUUAACAGGAAGUGGGGUAGAAAUUGACUUACAAUCUUGCAUGUUGAAGCGCCGCAAGAUUUUCUUCAAGUAAUUCUUCUGUGAAAUUCAAAUCUUCAUGUUAUUUCUGUCUCGGUGAAUUUGCAUCCCUAGAAUCUUGUUUGUUGGUCCCAAGUCCUUCAUUUCAAACUCCUUAGCCAAUUAUGCCUUCAAUUCUUAGAUUCGAUCUUUAUUGGGGCCUGCUACCAACAUGUCAUCCACAUACAAUAGCAAAAUAAUGAAAUCAUUAUCUUCAAACCUUUUGUAAUAUGCACAAUGGUCUGAACUGAGUUUGUUGUAUCCAAGGCUCAUGAUGAAGGAAUCAAAUCUCUUAUACCAACACCUCGGCGCCUGUUUGAGACCGUAUAGAGAUUUGUUCAACCUGCAAACCAAGUUCUCGUUUCCUGUUUCUGCAAAACCUUCUGGUUGUAGCAUAUAUAUUUCUUCUUCAAGUUCUCUAUGAAGAAAUGCAGUUUUCACAUCUAACUGCUCUAGAUGUAAGUCAAAUGUAGCACACAUCGCCAAGACUACUCUGACUGUCGUGAGUCGAACCACCGGCGAAAAUAUCUCGUUAAAGUCAAUACCUUCUUUCUGAGCAUAUCCUUUCACCACCAAUCUCACACGAUACCACUCCGCUUGGUCAUUGCCAUCACGUUUGAUCUUGUAGACCCAUUUGUUUCCAAUGGCUUUUCUUCCAUGUGGUAGUGGUACAAGUUCUCAUGUUUUAUUCUUGUGUAGAGCUUCAAUUUCUUCCUGCAUUACUAUCAUCCACAAAGUAACAUCUGAGCUUUCUAAAGUUUCAUGAAAAGUUGAAGGCUCUCCAUCCUCUGUUAGAAGACAGUACGCAACAUUAAUCUCUGUGACAUACUCUGAGUGCCACGCCGGUAGUCGUCUCUCACGAGUUAACCUACGAACUUCUAGAGCCUCGGACUCGACCGGUUCUUGUUAUUCGUGCUCUGGUGCUGUUUCAGAAGAAUCUGAAUCUUCUGGAUUAUUUUCCACAUAUACUGGCACAAUCUCUGACUUUUCUUUUGCAGUGCCAUCAUCCUUAUCUCUCCUUUGCAAUUGAUCUUCUAUAAAGAUAACAUCUCUGCUGAUGAUGAUCUUGUGGGUAGUGGGGUCCUACAGAUGAUACCCCUUUACUCCAUCAGCAUACCUCAAGAAGAUACAUCUUCUAGAUUUUGCAUCCAACUUUGUUCUUUCUUGGGCAUUGUACAUCACGUACACAUGACAUCCAAAUGCAUGUAGGUAGGAAUAAUCAGCUGACUUUCCAGUCCACAUCUCCAUCGCUGUCUUCAGCCCAAUUGUUGUAGAUGGCGACAGAUUUACUAUAUAACAAGCAGUUUUGGUUGCUUCUGCCCAGAAUGAAUUGGGUAGACCAGCAGUCCUCAACAUAGCUCUUAUUCUAUCUGUAAGAGUUCUGUUCAUCCGCCCUGCCACUCCAUUUUGUUGAGGAGUGUAUGCCACUGUGAACUACCUCUGAAUACCUUCUUGCUUACAGAAAGUAAGAAACUCGCCGUCUGUAUACUCUCCACCAUUAUCUGUCUUGAAGCACUUGAUCUUUUUACCAAAUUCAAGUUCCACCCGCGCUUUAUAUUCUUUAAAUACUAGAAAUACAUCUGACUUUUUCUUAAUUGGAUACACCCAACAUCUUCUGGAAUAAUCAUCAAUGAAAGUCACCAUCCCCUGGAUAUAUCCGGUGAUUCCCAAACAUCAGAAUGAAUCAAGUCUAAAAUGCAUUUACUUCUAACAACGGAUCUACUGAAUUUUAAUCUAUGUUGCUAACUGUUGUGCAAAUUUUAAUGUACUCGCAAGCGCACGAAUCUAUUGUAGUAUAGACUAAUGGUGACGAGUGUCGAUCCCACGAGGAGGUGGAUUUCAAUUGUAUAUAGAAUUAAUUUUGUAAAUGGGUGGUUGGAUUUGUGGUGGAAAUGAUUUGGAAUAUGCUAAAACUUAAAUUAAAAUGGCGAGAAUAAAUUCUGAAAUUGAAAUUGAAAUGACGAGAAUAAAUUGAAGCGAAGAUCUAUUGAAAUGACGUACUUGGGUAUCUGGAUCCGUAUCAACAUGCAUCAUGGGCUAAAUAAUCCGUAUUAAUGCCAAUUAAAUCAUGAGGGGGGAAUCCACACCUCAUGAACCACGCUCUAAUCAAUAUGGUGCUAAGGGCUUAUCGUGCCAAAUAAUAAUAACCUUUGUACUAGAGGGCCGGUGAAACCAAGGCGGUACUAGACAAGAUUAGUAUUAUUUGUCGACGAGAAGUCAAAACAUCCACAAAAAUUAGAGGGGAAGAGAAAGUAAAUUUACCAAAUAAAGCCCAUGACACAUGUUGAGACUUCACCUUCAACCCAAGCUUGAAAGAAAAUUAGCCACUCAUAAUUGAACUAGGGGCAAAAUGAAAAUUUAUUAAAAUACGAAGAAAAUACAAGAUGGAGAGAGAAUUACAGAAAAUGGAUCCCAAAAAUGGAUUCAGAGAUAUCAAAUUAGGGGGGGAAGGCCCCCUUUUUAUAGAUACAUGGAGUAAAUCAUGGCCAUCGGAUUAAAAACAGUUUGGACGCUCAGGAUUGCGCCACGUCAUCAGUCAACAGUCCACGGUUUGACCACGCGGAUGAACAGUAACACGGUUUUGACCCGGAUGAACAGUAACGCGGUUUGGUUGAAAAUAAUCCUGUGUAAUGCAUGCACCGUACGCGAGAUUUUUCGUCCACUGAUAUGCUGCCACGUCACCAUCAACAGUACAUAAGAAUUUUAGUCCAACAGGAUCGUGACACCUCAUCAGUCAAUGCCACAUCAUCGGUCAAUGCCACGUCAUCGAUCCGUCUAUGUGAACAGUGUCGUGAAAAGUAACAUAUACAGUACCGUAUACGUGAAUAGUACCGUACAUGUGAAUAGUGCCAUUUUUCCUUUUAUGCUCCUCCUAAGGUUUUCGACCGUCCUGAGUUCAAAAGUGAUGUCCGUUUUACCGUCUGAUCUCUCCUUUAUUGUGAAAUGACUAUAAUGCCCCUAAAAUACAUAAAAUACUUAAUUAAAAUAAAACACAUGUAAUUAAAUCACAAGAAGGUUAAAUACAUAAAAGUAAGGGUUGUUAGUAAGACUUGAAAUGUAAAAUGACAGAUUUCUCCUUUAUAAAUAUGCAUUUUCUAACACUCAACACACCCCCCAACCAGCUUAUUGCUAGUCCCUAGCAAAUAAAGCGAAAAUAAAAUUCAAAUCCAAAAUGAUUUUUUUUUUUUUAAUAAAAACACUCAUAUUUAUUCAAUCAGAUUAAUGAUAGCACUCAAAUAAAAGUAUAAGCAUUAUCUCCAGUCUAAAGCAACAUCACACCCACAUCAACCAUUCACAUGAAUCAGCCUAGUAGACUUUGUUAUAGCUACUUUCAAGAAUGACAUGUCAAACCCCAAAAUCUCACUGGAAGUAGUGACACUCUCACAAAGAAAUUAAAACCCAAUAAAAAUAGUCACUCCAAUGAAUGGUAAUUGAGAGAGAAAAUAAUAAAGAAGUGAUAUCACAUGCUCUCACCAAGAUGAAAUAAAUAUGCCCUCAGCUUAGAAAUAAUACGAUCUCAAGUCAAAUAAAAUGUUAGUCAACCCACUUUAUUUAUCUUUUUUUUUUUCUUUUUUUUUUUAUUAUGCAUCAUUACAUCUUUUUAGCCCAUUUAACUAGCUUCUACUUCAAACUAUAGUUCCCUAAAAUCAAGAAGGACUUUUAUUAGGACGUAACGUAGGCUAGGAAUAUGGCUAACAAAGAAAGGAAAUAAGGAAAAUAAAGUGUAUGUUUGAGAAAAAUGCAGAAUUAUUUUUUUUUUUUGGAAGUUGCAAGGUGGAUUUCACCUAUUAUUGUUAUUUUUAUUCUUUUGAAACAACAACUUUUGUUUUUGUUUUUUUUUUCUUUUUGCUUUUAUUUGGCAUAACUUCACUGAACAACAUAAUUAUUUACAUUUUCUCAAACAUAAAUAGGUGAUGGAACUUAAAAGACAUUGGGUAAUACUCCAAAUCGGAGUGGGUCAAGAUGAUAAGUUGACAAAGAAAAGGUUUUUGUUCUUUUUUUUUUUUUUUUUUUUUAAAGGCUCAAAAGGGGUAACUAUGGAUAUUUAAUAAAAGGGAUGGCUAGAAAGGCUCAAACGGAUCAAAGAUGGCCUUUCCAUCGUCUUUUAGGGCUCUAAAUAAUCAUCCAUAUCUACUAGUUAGAUGGGCCUCCCAAUGUAGCAACACAUAAUUUUUUUUUUAUUUUACAAUUUUUUUUUUUAAGGGUUAACUCAAAAGAAAUCUAGAGAUCGUAUAUACAAUAAUAAACUGCUAAGCUGUAUAAAGAAUGGGCAAAAGGGUUACUCUCCAAGAAAAAUGAUAGGCUCAAAAGCUCACUUGGUACUUAUUAUGACAUGUUCAUUCCUUCAAGCAACUCAUAUUUGUCUCCGACAUCAACAUGUAAAGUAGCAAACAUAGUGUAACAUCACUUCAGACUAAAGAUAAUACAAAUACUAAAAUUUGAAAUUCAUCAUGUCAUCCAAUGUUAACACAAAUCACAAUUUUUUUUUUUAAAUUUGAAACAACAUUCUACCCCCCAACCUAUUCUAAACAUGAAAGGAAAAUAUGCAUGCAAAAAUGUGAAAAUGAUGUAGAAAAAUUAAUUAGAAAAAAAAAUUUUUUUUUUUUUUAACUAAGAAGAUGCGUUUCUAGAGGCACGACACUCCAUAUUCAGCCAUCUUCGACUCAAAAAUUGGAAAAUAUAUAUUUAUAAAGGAGAAAGAGGAAGAAAACAAUUUUUUUUUAAACGAUGAAGAUGCGUUUCUAGAGUAACUACACUCCAUAUUCAGCCAUCUUCAACACAAAACGUUAGCAACAGUUAGUUUCUACAACAAAAAAUCAGUAAAAACUUAACCAAGAUUCCACAAUUGUCGACUAUUCCCUCCCCCCAACCAGAACGAAACAUUGUCCUCAAUGUUUGAAAGGAACGAAGUAGAGUUUAGAAGACAUCACCUGGGUGGUGCAACACAGAAGAAAAUAUUUACAGGCGGAGAGUUAAAUCUAAUUUGUACUUCUUACUGCGGCUACUGUUACCAUCAUUAUUUGGUCGCUCCAACACAAAGGUCCAGGGGUCUGGCUCCGGUUUAUAAGCUUGUAACAUAUCAAGUAGCUCAUUAGCAGUGUGAGCACAAAUAAAGAGUUUUUUCACAUUAGAAGGAAUGAAAUAGUUUUUUAUUGCAUGGUUAAGAAAUGCGAUAAAGCCAUCAUAAAAGUUAUUGACAUUUAACAAACCGAUGGGUUUCUGGUGAAUGUACAGAUGGGCCCAAGAUGAUAGUGUGAUAAGUGCCUCUAGUGUUGCAAGAUCUCCUGGAAGGAAAAUAAAAGCAUCAGCGUGAUUAAGCAUUUCGGUUAUUCUUUCUUGCAUACCUGAGACGACUAACUCUUCUCCAGUUGAUGAGUUAGACGAACUGCCCAAUGGUUUUAGGACUCUUGGGAUGAUGCCUAAUGUUGAGUGUUAGAAAAUGCAUAUUUAUAAAGGAGAAAACCGUCAUUUUACAUUUCAAGUCUUACUAACAACCCUUACUUUUAUGUAUUUAACCUUCUUGUGAUGUAAUUACGUGUGUGUUAUUUUAAUUAAGUAUUUUAUGUAUUUUAGGGGCAUUAUAGUCAUUUCACAAUAAAGGAGAGAUCAGACGGCAAAACGGACAUCACUUUUGAACUCAGGACGGUCGAAAACCUUAGGAGGAGCAUAAAAGGAAAAAUGGCACUAUUCACAUGUACGGUACUAUUCACGUAUACGGUACUGUAUAUGUUACUGUUCACGGCACUGUUCACAUAGACGGAUCGAUGACGUGGCAUUGACCGAUGAUGUGGCAUUGACUGAUGAGGUGUCACGAUCCUGUUGGACUAAAAUUCUUAUGUACUGUUGAUGGUGACGUGGCAGCAUAUCAGUGGACGAAAAAUCUCGCGUACGGUGCAUGCAUCACACAGGAUUAUUUUCAAUCAAACCGUGUUACUGUUCAUCCGCGUGGUCAAACCGUGGACUGUUGACUGAUGACGUGGCGCAAUCCUGAGCGUCCAAACUGUUUUUAAUCCGAUGGCCAUGAUUUACUCCAUGUAUCUAUAAAAAGGGGGCCUCCCCCCCCUAAUUUGAUAUCUCUGAAUCCAUUUUUGGGAUCCAUUUUCUGUAAUUCCCUCUCCAUCUUGUAUUUUCUUUGUAUUUUAAUAAAUUCCCAUUUUGCCCCUAGUUCAAUUAUGAGUAGCUAAUUUCCUUUCAAGCUUGGGUUGAAGGUGAAGUCUCAACAUGUGUCAUGGGCUUUAUUUGGUAAAUUUAUUUUCUUUUCCCCUCUAGUUUUUGUGGAUGAUUUGACUUAUCGUCGACAAAUAAUACUGAUCUUGUCUAGAUACCGCCUUGGUUACACCGGCUCUCUAGUAUAAGGUUAUUAUUAUUUGGCACGAUAAGCCCUUAACACCAUAUUGAUUAGAGCGUGGUUCAUGAGGUGUGGAUUCCCCCCUCAUGAUUUAAUUGGCAUUAAUACGGAUUAUUUAGCCCAUGAUGCAUGUUGAUACGGAUCCAGAUACCCAAGUACGUCAUUUCAAUAGAAUUCUCUUCAAUUUAUUCUCGCCAUUUCAAUUCCAAUUUCAGAAUUUAUUCUCACCAUUUUAAUUUAAGUUUUAGCAUAUUCCAAAUCAUUUCCACCACAGAUCCAAUCAACCAUUUGCAAAAUUAAUUCUAUACACAAUUAAAAUCCACCUCCUCGUGGGAUCGACACUCGUCACCAUUGAUCUAUACUACAAUAGAUUCGUGCACUUGCGAGUACAUUAAAAUUUGCACAACAAGUUUUUGGCGCCGUUGCCGGGGAGGUAAGUAAUUUUAAUUCAUAGAAUUAAUUUUUGUGAAUAAUUCCAUUUAAUUGUUUUCUUGUAUUUUUUAUUAUUUAAAAAAAAAAGAAAAAAAAAGUAAAUCUAUAUUUAAAGGUUAGUAUUUCUUUUCUUUUUCUCUUCUUUAAAAUUCUGUAAUUUAAUUUUCAAUUUAUUUUUUCUUUGUAAGUUUUGUUUAUUUUAUUAAUUUAAUUUUUAGUUAAUUUAUUUCACGUAUUUAUUUUUGUGUAUUUUUAUAGAAAGGUUGUAACAGCGUAAUAAGGUUAGUAUCGUAAUUUCUCCCUCUUCUUUAUUUUUAUUUGUUUUGUUCUCAUCUUUAUUUUUUAUUUGUUUUGUUCCCAUCUUUAUUUUUUUUGUUUUGUUUGCAUCUUUAUUUUUAUUUUAUUUAUUUUGCAUGCAUGGUCGUAGGUCAUUAUUACCUAAUCUUGAACCUAUAGACCUUGAACUAGAAAAAACACUUCGCACACAAAAACACAUUAAAAAUAAAUUUGGAAUGGAUUUACAAGCACCACAGGAGAGGCCAUUUAAGGACUAUUUUAGUCCCUUAGCUAAUUUGAGCACAUCAUGCAUAAGAUACCCAAAUGUAGCUGCUAGGAGUUUUGAAUUAAAACCUAGUGUGCUAAAUUGUCUCCCCACAUUCUAUGGCCUAGAAAAUGAGGACCCAUAUAAUCAUCUGAAUGAUUUUCAUGCCAUUUGUCAAACUUUUAAAUAUGAAAAUUUUUCAGACGAUGAUGUUAAACUUAGAUUAUUCCCAUUUUCUUUAAAGGAUAGAGCUCGUUCAUGGUUAAAUACUUUGCCUGCUAAUAGCAUUGCAUCAUGGGAACAAAUGGUUACAAAAUUUCUAAAUAAAUAUUUCCCAGUGCAUAAAACCAAUUCUAUUCGCAGGGAAAUUUCAGAGUUUAAACAAAGAGAGGACGAGCAGUUUUUCGAAACUUGGGAGCGAUUCAAUGGGCUACUCUUGAAGUGUCCACAUCAUGGGUACGAGAAAUGGCACCAAUGCCAAUACUUUUUGGAAGGGUUAUUGCCAAAUGUGCAAGAAUGGCUAAUGGCAACAAGUGGAGGAGAGCUAAUGUCAAAAAGCGCAACAGAGAUUUGGGAAUUCUUCCAGCGACAAGCGGAUAAUUCCCAACAACGGAGUCGAUCACUCAGGAAUACUAGAAGAAUUAAAGGAGUGAAUGAGGUUCAAAUUGGCGAGUCAACUUCGGGAAUCAAAGAAGUCAAGGAGAUGGUUGAAGGUCUUGCUCGACAAAUAGCAUCGUUGUCGACUGCUAAAUCAACAGAGCCACAUGACCAUGACUCAUACUCAGAUCAAGCCAAUGCCAUAGGUGUAAUGAGAAAGCCAUCUAAUUACAACCCAUACUCCAACACAUAUAACCCUGGAUGGAGAGACCACCCCAAUUUUUCAUGGUCUCAAGGAUUUCAACAGAAUGGACCAGCAGCUCCAGCUCCACCAAUGCAACAAAUUUCUCAAAAUCCUCAAGCCUCUCAGCCACCAUUCAGACCAUACAAUCAGAACCAGAACUACUCUCAACCCAGACCAUGGGAGGAUGCAUUCCAGAAUUUCAAGAAUGUUACUCACUCCACGAUUGAGCAACAGAACCGCACCAUUGAUGGAUUACGAAAUGAGUUGAGAGCAGGCUUCAACUCACAAGCCCAAUCAGUUUCAAGCCUUGAGAAGAUGGUGGGACAACUUGCUUCUUCAGUUCAGACCUUGGCAAUGACUGUUGAGAAAGGCAAGUUUCCAAGUCAACCAGUGCCUAAUCCUAAAGGAGUACAUGAAGCAAGUACCAGUUCACCACAGCAGCAUGGAGAGGUCAAAGCAGUCAUGACCUUGCGAAAAGGAAAGGAAGUCGACAACAAAGUGGAGAUGCCGGUGACAAAAGAAAAUCAAAUUGUACCUGUGAAUGUUGAGGACUCACCACCGGAGGAAAAAGAAGAAACCAACCCACGAGAAUAUGUUCCUAAAGCUCCAUUUCCUCAGAGGUUAGCGAAAGGAAAGAAGGGAAAAUCCACAGGUGAGAUUCUCGAAAUCUUCAAACAUGUAAGUGUUAACAUCCCUUUACUUGAUGCUAUUAAACAAGUUCCAUCUUAUGCCAAGUUUCUUAAAGACCUUUGUACUAAAAAGAGAAAUAUGCAUGUUCAAAAGAAGGCCUUUUUAACAGAAAACGUUAGUUCUAUACUCCAAUAUAAAAUUCCUCUAAAAUGCAAAGACCCAGGCUCCCCCACUAUCUCAUGUAGUAUAGGGAACCACACAAUUGAGAAUGCUUUGUUGGAUUUAGGAGCUAGUGUAAAUCUGUUGCCUUAUUCAGUAUUCGUGAAACUUGGACUGGGAGAAUUACACCCAACUCCAGUGGUGUUACAGCUUGCAGAUCGGUCCACAAAAAUACCUCGUGGUAUUGUGGAGGACGUGCUUAUCCAGGUAGACAAGUUUUAUUUUCCUGUUGAUUUCAUUGUAAUUGACACUCAACCAAUACAGGAUUCAAGGAAGCACAUCCCCAUUAUCCUAGGCCGACCUUUCUUGGCAACUGCGGAUGCUCACAUUCAAUGCAGGACUGGAAAUAUGCAGUUGUCCUUCGGCAACAUGACUAUGGAGCUAAAUAUUUUCAACAUUGCCAAACAACCUCACAGUGCAGAUGAUGGAAUUGUUGAUGUGGAUUUAAUAGAAACAAUAGUCGAUAAUACUUUUAUUUCAAAUCUUAGUGAUGACCCUUUACAGACAUGCUUAACUCACUUUGGUUUGGAUUUUGAUAUUGACAGAUCAGUUGAUGAGGUCAACGCUCUACUUGACUCAGCACCAUCCAUGGACACUAAUAAAUGGAAGUCAAGAGUUGAACAACUAGCACCAUCAGAGAAGAAACUCAUCCCAUCAUCAGAAUCACCACCGAAACUCGAGCUCAAACCAUUGCCCAACACAUUGGAAUAUGCAUUUUUGGGAGAAGAAAGUACUCUACCGGUAAUCAUCUCAUCAUCCUUAAAUGACGAACAAAAAGGUAAGUUGUUGGAUGUUUUAAAAGAGCACAAAGGAGCAUUAGGAUGGACCAUAGCAGACAUUAAAGGUAUAAACCCAGUAGACUGCAUGCAUUACAUUCACCUUGAUGAAAAUGCUAAAACUACUAGGGAGAUGCAACGUCGGUUAAAUCCUAAUAUGAAAGAAGUUGUUAGAACAGAAGUCCUUAAGCUAUUAGACGCAGGUAUCAUUUACCCAAUUUCUGAUAGUUCAUGAGUCAGUCCUGUACAAGUUGUCCCCAAAAAGUCAGGAGUCACAGUAGUUACCAAUGCUGAUAAUGAAUUGAUACCAACUAGAGUAACUACAGGAUGGCGUGUAUGCAUUGAUUAUAGAAAGUUGAAUUCUGUCACACGUAAAGACCAUUUUCCUUUACCAUUUAUUGAUCAAAUGCUCGAUAGAUUAGCAGGCCAUGAAUUUUAUUGCUUUCUAGAUGGCUACUCAGGAUAUAAUCAGAUUCCCAUAGCACCAAAAGAUCAAGAGAAAACUACUUUCACUUGCCCUUUUGGCACUUUUGCAUAUAGGAGAAUGCCAUUUGGAUUAUGUAAUGCACCUGCUACAUUCCAACGAUGCAUGUUGAGCAUUUUUUCUGAUAUGGUUGAACGAUUCCUUGAAGUCUUUAUGGAUGAUUUUUCUGUCUUUGGUGACUCGUUUGAUCAAUGUUUACAUCAUCUAAUGCUAGUUCUGCAGAGAUGUAUCGAGAAGAACUUAAUCUUAAAUUGGGAGAAGUGCCAUUUUAUGGUAAAACAAGGUAUUGUUCUCGGUCACAUCAUUUCGAGCAAAGGUAUUGAGGUUGACAAAGCCAAGGUGGAUCUCAUUUCUAAUCUUCCUCCACCUAAAACAGUCAGAGAAGUAAGAUCUUUCCUUGGACAUGCUGGUUUUUUAUAGACGUUUCAUUAAAGAUUUUAGCAAAGUUUCUAGACCCUUAUGCAAUUUACUUGCUAAGGAUGUACCUUUUAUCUUUAAUGAUUCAUGUCUUAUGGCUUUUGAAAAAUUAAAGCAAUUGUUGACAUCAUCACCCAUCAUUCAGGCCCCAAACUGGAGCUUACCAUUUGAGCUUAUGUGUGAUGCAUCUGAUUAUGCAGUAGGAGCAGUUUUAGGACAAAGAGUUGAUCGAAUUCCUCAUGUUAUUUACUAUGCUAGUAUGACAUUGAAUGAUGCACAGUUGAACUAUUCAACUACUGAAAAAGAAAUGCUAGCAGUAGUGUUUGCAUUGGAAAAAUUUCGAUCUUAUCUCAUUGGUUGUAAAAUAAUUGUGUUCACAGAUCAUGCUGCUCUUAAAUAUCUUCUCACAAAGAAAGAUGCAAAAGCUAGACUAAUUCGUUGGGUGUUACUUUUGCAGGAAUUUGACUUGGAAUUCAAAGAUAAGAAAGGGACAGAAAAUGUUGUGGCGGACCAUCUCUCUCGUCUCCACUUUGACACAAUUACAGAACCAUUACCAUUGAAUGAGUCAUUUCCAGAUGAACAAUUAAUGAAUGUGGAAGUAUUACCUUGGUAUGCUGAUAUAGUUAAUUAUCUUGUUACAGGUAAACUUCCAGAGCAUUGGACCAAGCAAGACAAGGCUAAAUUCUUUGCGGAAAUAAAGAAUUUCUUUUGGGAUGACCCGUAUUUGUUCAAGUAUUGUGCAGAUCAAAUUGUUAGGCGAUGUGUCCCAGAAAGUGAAAUUCAGAAUAUCCUGUCAUUCUGCCAUGCACAAGCUUGUGGAGGCCACUUCAGUGCUAAGAAAACAGCGACUAAAGUUUUACAAUGUGGUUUCUAUUGGCCAACUAUAUUUCGAGAUGCUUACACUUUCUGUUCUUCAUGUGAUAGGUGUCAACGAAUGGGGAGUAUUACACGAAGGAACAUGAUGCCACUAAAUCCAAUUUUAGUGGUUGAGAUUUUUGACGUAUGGGGUAUCGACUUCAUGGGACCCUUUCCCCCUUCUUUUGGCCAUCAAUACAUAUUGGUUGGUGUUGACUACGUCUCGAAAUGGGUAGAAGCAAUUCCAUGUAGGACCAAUGAUCACAAAGUGGUGAUAGGAUUUUUGAAAAGCAACAUUGUUUCACGCUUUGGAUUCCCUCGAGCGAUAAUCAGUGAUGGUGGUGCCCACUUUUGUAACAAAACAUUCAAAGUUCUUUUGACAAAGUAUUCAAUCACACACAAAGUGGCGACCCCGUAUCAUCCGCAAACCAGUGGCCAAGUUGAGAUCUCCAAUCGAGAAAUCAAGCACAUAUUAGAAAAAAACGGUGAGGCCAGACAGAAAAGAUUGGUCAUUAAGACUUGAUGAUGCAUUAUGGGCAUAUAGAACGGCUUUCAAGACCCGAUUGGGAUGUCACCUACAGGCUAGUGUAUGGAAAAGCUUGCCACCUACCUGUGGAACCGAGCAUCGUGCAUAUUGGGCCAUCAAGAAAUUCAAUUUUGACAUGCAGCAAGCCAGCUCAGAAAGAAGAUUACAACUGGCAGAACUUGAAGAAAAUUCGCAAUGAUGCAUACGAAAAUGCCAAGAUUUACAAGCAACGAAUGAAAGUCUUUCAUGACAAGCACAUUAUGAGAAAAUCGUUCACUCCAGGUCAGAAAGUGCUUUUUAUUCAAAUUCUCGUUUGCACCUAUUCCAGGUAAGUUACGCUCCUCGAUGGUCUGUCCCUUUAUUGUUCAUACUAUUUUUCCACAUGGGGCAAUUGAAAUUAAAGACCCAAAGAACGGUGUCACGUUUAAAGUUAAUGGUCAAAGAUUAAAGCCAUAUCUAGAGUACCAACCACAUGGAGAAGACACCGAAAUAAAUUUGAGUGACCCACCAGAUUUGAAUUGAUUUUUUUCUUUUUGUUGAUUUGAUUUUUCUUUCUUUCUUUUUAUUAUUCUUUUGCUAAUUGAAAUUAUUUUUGCAUAAGUGUGUUUGUUUUACCAUUAAGUUUUCUUUUUUCUUAUCAUUGUUAAUCAUGAGUACCAUACUUAGACCGUUCCUCCUGAACAUUCUUAAACCACUUCAACGUGUCAAAACUCAUCUCAAAAAGCAGAUUCAAUUUUGUAAAACACAACGCAUUUGGGCUCUACAACCACCAGAGUUAGUAGCCUAUGUUGAGGGUUUAGAACGCCAACUCAGAGACAUUGAAGAAGUGUUUACGACAUCCAGUUGGAGCUUGAGGUAAAUUCAAUAAGAGGACGAUUUUAAUUUUCUUUGUGUGUUUUUAAUUUGUUUUUUCUGUUGUGUGCUUUAGUUUGUUACCCCGGUGAAAUGGCGGAUAACGGUACUCCGUGACAAUCAAGUCGGUUACUUCAGUUUCCCACAAUAACUGACAUUCUGAGGUGAAAGUAUGGACAGAAACGAGAUUCUAGCGAAGCUUCACAAGCGAUUCCCUUCACUUCCUCAGAAUGCCCUCCUUACAAUCUAUAAAGCCCGGUCUGAACGCAUGCGAUUGCUCAUGAAGAAUAACAUACCUGCUGACAUCCGUUGGUUAAUCGAGGCUAAAGUACGAUCGGCAGGUGAGUUACCUCCAAAAUUUAUUGCAUUCAUGCUUGGUUGUGGUAAAGGAAAUUAUGCAAAAGAAAACGACGAGCUCGAAGAAUUUCUGUUGCUUGUCAUAAGUGUGCCAGAAUGAGUUGCGAUAGAAACCCAUGUUCUUUAGGAAUGGUGUCUGAUAACAGGGAAGAUAAGAUUCAAUUCAUUAGGGAUGGCUUGAAUAAGGAGUCAUUGGAUGAUAUCCUUUUGUCUCUUGAAACGCAUCCCAGUGGAUAUGUGCAAGGAGCGAUUCUCCAGUUAUGGCCAUUAUUCCAGAAAGAGCAUACACGAUAUAGUCUCGGGAAUCUGACUAUAAACGACCCUGUUUGCCAGUUUAUAAGAAAACUGGAUGGGAAGCCCAUCCUCGACCCAUAGAGGCGUUUCAAGCCGUUUCUGGACGUAAAACCAGAGGAAGAUGUGAGCCACAGUCGCAACUACGUGUAAAUAUCCUUUUACUUUACUGUUAUUUAUUUCAUUUCACUAUUGUUUAUCGUUUGCAUUAUUGCCUUUAAUAAUUUUAUUACUGUUUGCUUUUUCCUUUUUACUGUUCCUUUUUGACUCGCGAGCCACGUGCUUUACGCGUUAUUUGACACUGACAUUCAAAAGAAGGCCUUUUUAACAGAAAACGUUAGUUCUAUACUCCAAUAUAAAAUUCCUCUAAAAUGCAAAGACCCAGGCUCCCCCACUAUCUCAUGUAGUAUAGGGAACCACACAAUUGAGAAUGCUUUGUUGGAUUUAGGAGCUAGUGUAAAUCUGUUGCUUUAUUCAGUAUUCGUGAAACUUGGACUGGGAGAAUUACACCCAACUCCAGUGGUGUUACAGCUUGCAGAUCGGUCCACAAAAAUACCUCGUGGUAUUGUGGAGGACGUGCUUAUCCAGGUAGACAAGUUUUAUUUUCCUGUUGAUUUCAUUGUAAUUGACACUCAACCAAUACAGGAUUCAAGGAAGCACAUCCCCAUUAUCCUAGGCCGACCUUUCUUGGCAACUGCGGAUGCUCACAUUCAAUGCAGGACUGGAAAUAUGCAGUUGUCCUUCGGCAACAUGACUAUGGAGCUAAAUAUUUUCAACAUUGCCAAACAACCUCACAGUGCAGAUGAUGGAAUUGUUUGAUGUGGAUUUAAUAGAAACAAUAGUCGAUAAUACUUUUAUUUCAAAUCUUUAGUGAUGACCUUUACAGACAUGCUUAACUCACUUUGGUUUGGAUUUUUGAUAUUGACAGAUCAGUUGAUGAGGUCAACGCUCUACUUGACUCAGCACCAUCCAUGGACACUAAUAAAUGGAAGUCAAGAGUUGAACAACUAGCACCAUCAGAGAAGAAACUCAUCCCAUCAUCAGAAUCACCACCGAAACUCGAGCUCAAACCAUUGCCCAACACAUUGGAAUAUGCAUUUUUGGGAGAAGAAAGUACUCUACCGGUAAUCAUCUCAUCAUCCUUAAAUGACGAACAAAAAGGUAAGUUGUUGGAUGUUUUAAAAGAGCACAAAGGAGCAUUAGGAUGGACCAUAGCAGACAUUAAAGGUAUAAACCCAGUAGACUGCAUGCAUUACAUUCACCUUGAUGAAAAUGCUAAAACUACUAGGGAGAUGCAACGUCGGGUUAAAUCCUAAUAUGAAAGAAGUUGUUAGAACAGAAGUCCUUAAGCUAUUAGACGCAGGUAUCAUUUACCCAAUUUUGAUAGUUCAUGGAGUCAGUCCUGUACAAGUUGUCCCCAAAAGGUCAGGAGUCACAGUAGUUACCAAUGCUGAUAAUGAAUUGAUACCAACUAGAGUAACUACAGGAUGGCGUGUAUGCAUUGAUUAUAGAAAGUUGAAUUCUGUCACACGUAAAGACCAUUUUCCUUUACCAUUUAUUGAUCAAUGCUCGAUAGAUUAGCAGGCCAUGAAUUUUAUUGCUUUCUAGAUGGCUACUCAGGAUAUAAUCAGAUUCCCAUAGCACCAAAAGAUCAAGAGAAAAUACUUUCACUUGCCCUUUUGGCACUUUUGCAUAUAGGAGAAUGCCAUUUGGAUUAUGUAAUGCACCUGCUACAUUCCAACGAUGCAUGUUGAGCAUUUUUUCUGAUAUGGUUGAACGAUUCCUUGAAGUCUUUAUGGAUGAUUUUUCUGUCUUUGGUGACUCGUUUGAUCAAUGUUUACAUCAUCUAAUGCUAGUUCUGCAGAGAUGUAUCGAGAAGAACUUAAUCUUAAAUUGGGAGAAGUGCCAUUUUAUGGUAAAACAAGGUAUUGUUCUCGGUCACAUCAUUUCGAGCAAAGGUAUUGAGGUUGACAAAGCCAAGGUGGAUCUCAUUUCUAAUCUUCCUCCACCUAAAACAGUCAGAGAAGUAAGAUCUUUCCUUGGACAUGCUGGUUUUUAUAGACGUUUCAUUAAAGAUUUUAGCAAAGUUUCUAGACCCUUAUGCAAUUUACUUGCUAAGGAUGUACCUUUUAUCUUUAAUGAUUCAUGUCUUAUGGCUUUUGAAAAAUUAAAGCAAUUGUUGACAUCAUCACCCAUCAUUCAGGCCCAAACUGGAGCUUACCAUUUGAGCUUAUGUGUGAUGCAUCUGAUUAUGCAGUAGGAGCAGUUUAGGACAAAGAGUUGAUCGAAUUCCUCAUGUUAUUUACUAUGCUAGUAUGACAUUGAAUGAUGCACAGUUGAACUAUUCAACUACUGAAAAAGAAAUGCUAGCAGUAGUGUUUGCAUUGGAAAAAUUUCGAUCUUAUCUCAUUGGUUGUAAAAUAAUUGUGUUCACAGAUCAUGCUGCUCUUAAAUAUCUUCUCACAAAGAAAGAUGCAAAAGCUAGACUAAUUCGUUGGGUGUUACUUUUGCAGGAAUUUGACUUGGAAUUCAAAGAUAAGAAAGGGACAGAAAAUGUUGUGGCGGACCAUCUCUCUCGUCUCCACUUUGACACAAUUACAGAACCAUUACCAUUGAAUGAGUCAUUUCCAGAUGAACAAUUAAUGAAUGUGGAAGUAUUACCUUGGUAUGCUGAUAUAGUUAAUUAUCUUGUUACAGGUAAACUUCCAGAGCAUUGGACCAAGCAAGACAAGGCUAAAUUCUUUGCGGAAAUAAAGAAUUUCUUUUGGGAUGACCCGUAUUUGUUCAAGUAUUGUGCAGAUCAAAUUGUUAGGCGAUGUGUCCCAGAAAGUGAAAUUCAGAAUAUCCUGUCAUUCUGCCAUGCACAAGCUUGUGGAGGCCACUUCAGUGCUAAGAAAACAGCGACUAAAGUUUUACAAUGUGGUUUCUAUUGGCCAACUAUAUUUCGAGAUGCUUACACUUUCUGUUCUUCAUGUGAUAGGUGUCAACGAAUGGGGAGUAUUACACGAAGGAACAUGAUGCCACUAAAUCCAAUUUUAGUGGUUGAGAUUUUUGACGUAUGGGGUAUCGACUUCAUGGGACCCUUUCCCCCUUCUUUUGGCCAUCAAUACAUAUUGGUUGGUGUUGACUACGUCUCGAAAUGGGUAGAAGCAAUUCCAUGUAGGACCAAUGAUCACAAAGUGGUGAUAGGAUUUUUGAAAAGCAACAUUGUUUCACGCUUUGGAUUCCCUCGAGCGAUAAUCAGUGAUGGUGGUGCCCACUUUUGUAACAAAACAUUCAAAGUUCUUUUGACAAAGUAUUCAAUCACACACAAAGUGGCGACCCCGUAUCAUCCGCAAACCAGUGGCCAAGUUGAGAUCUCCAAUCGAGAAAUCAAGCACAUAUUAGAAAAAACGGUGAGGCCAGACAGAAAAGAUUGGUCAUUAAGACUUGAUGAUGCAUUAUGGGCAUAUAGAACGGCUUUCAAGACCCCGAUUGGGAUGUCACCCUACAGGCUAGUGUAUGGAAAAGCUUGCCACCUACCUGUGGAACUCGAGCAUCGUGCAUAUUGGGCCAUCAAGAAAUUCAAUUUUGACAUGCAGCAAGCCAGCUCAGAAAGAAGAUUACAACUGGCAGAACUUGAAGAAAUUCGCAAUGAUGCAUACGAAAAUGCCAAGAUUUACAAGCAACGAAUGAAAGUCUUUCAUGACAAGCACAUUAUGAGAAAAUCGUUCACUCCAGGUCAGAAAGUGCUUUUAUUCAAUUCUCGUUUGCACCUAUUCCCAGGUAAGUUACGCUCUCGAUGGUCUGGUCCCUUUAUUGUUCAUACUAUUUUUCCACAUGGGGCAAUUGAAAUUAAAGACCCAAAGAACGGUGUCACGUUUAAAGUUAAUGGUCAAAGAUUAAAGCCAUAUCUAGAGUACCAACCACAUGGAGAAGACACCGAAAUAAAUUUGAGUGACCCACCAGAUUUGAAUUGAUUUUUUUCUUUUUGUUGAUUUGAUUUUUCUUUCUUUCUUUUUAUUAUUCUUUUGCUAAUUGAAAUUAUUUUUGCAUAAGUGUGUUUGUUUUACCAUUAAGUUUUCUUUUUUCUUAUCAUUGUUAAUCAUGAGUACCAUACUUAGACCGUUCCUCCUGAACAUUCUUAAACCACUUCAACGUGUCAAAACUCAUCUCAAAAAGCAGAUUCAAUUUUGUAAAACACAACGCAUUUGGGCUCUACAACCACCAGAGUUAGUAGCCUAUGUUGAGGGUUUAGAACGCCAACUCAGAGACAUUGAGAGAAGUGUUUACGACAUCCAGUUGGAGCUUGAGGUAAAUUCAAUAAGAGGACGAUUUUAAUUUUCUUUGUGUGUUUUAAUUUGUUUUUCUGUUUGUGUGCUUUAGUUUGUUACCCCGGUGAAAUGGCGGAUAACGGUACUCCGUGACAAUCAAGUCGGUUACUUCAGUUUCCCACAAUAACUGACAUUCUGAGGUGAAAGUAUGGACAGAAACGAGAUUCUAGCGAAGCUUCACAAGCGAUUCCCUUCACUUCCUCAGAAUGCCCUCCUUACAAUCUAUAAAGCCCGGUCUGAACGCAUGCGAUUGCUCAUGAAGAAUAACAUACCUGCUGACAUCCGUUGGUUAAUCGAGGCUAAAGUACGAUCGGCAGGUGAGUUACCUCCAAAAUUUAUUGCAUUCAUGCUUGGUUGUGGUAAAGGAAAUUAUGCAAGAAAACGACGAGCUCGAAGAAUUUCUGUUGCUUGUCAUAAGUGUGCCAGAAUGAGUUGCGAUAGAAACCCAUGUUCUUUAGGAAUGGUGUCUGAUAACAGGGAAGAUAAGAUUCAAUUCAUUAGGGAUGGCUUGAAUAAGGAGUCAUUGGAUGAUAUCCUUUUGUCUCUUGAAACGCAUCCCAGUGGAUAUGUGCAAGGAGCGAUUCUCCAGUUAUGGCCAUUAUUCCAGAAAGAGCAUACACGAUAUAGUCUCGGGAAUCUGACUAUAAACGACCCUGUUUGCCAGUUUAUAAGAAAACUGGAUGGGAAGCCCAUCCUCGACCCAUAGAGGGCGUUCAAGCCGUUUCUGGACGUAAAACCAGAGGAAGAUGUGAGCCACAGUCGCAACUACGUGUAAAUAUCCUUUUACUUUACUGUUAUUUUAUUUCAUUUCACUAUUGUUUUAUCGUUUGCAUUAUUGCCUUUAAUAAUUUUAUUACUGUUUGCUUUUUCCUUUUUACUGUUUCCUUUUUGACUCGCGAGCCACGUGCUUUACGCGUUAUUUGACACUGACAUGUUACCUCAUUCACAGCUGUGAUCCACUGUCACCAAGAUUCUUAAAUGUGAUUUACUUUUUGUCAAGCACUCACAAAUUGUUUUUGAGAAAUAUUCCAAUGGCAGCUACUCCCAAUAGACAAUUCAAGAACAUUUGUGUGCUUUCUGGAUUUACCUAUGGCAAACAUAAAGAGUUCGUGGAGGCAGCCAUAGAUCUUGGUCGAAGCAUAGCAGCGAGAAAAUUACACUUGGUGUAUGGAGGAGGUAACCGAGGGUUAUCAAAAAUGGUUUCAGAAGCAGCUUUUAUCAGAGGAAGUCAAGUGUUAGGCAUCAUCCCAAGAGUCUUAAAACCAUUGGGCAGUUCGUCUGACUCAUCAACUGGAGAAGAGUUAGUCGUCUCAGGUAUGCAAGAAAGAAUAACUGAAAUGCUUAAUCAUGCUGAUGCUUUUAUUUUCCUUCCAGGAGAUCUUGCAACACUAGAGGCACUUAUGACACUAGCAUCUUGGGCCCAUCUACACAUUCACCAGAAACCCAUCGGUUUGUUAAAUGUCAAUAACUUUUAUGAUGGCUUUAUCGCAUUUCUUAACCAUGCAAUAAAAAACUAUUUCAUUCCUUCUAAUGUGAAAAAACUCUUUAUUUGUGCUCACACUGCUAAUGAGCUACUUGAUAUGUUACAAGCUUAUAAACCGGAGCCAGACCCCUGGACCUUUGUGUUGGAGCGACCAAAUAAUGAUGGUAACAGUAGCCGCAGUAAGAAGUACAAAUUAGAUUUAACUCUCCGCCUGUAAAUAUUUUCUUCUGUGUUGCACCACCCAGGUGAUGUCUUCUAAACUCUACUUAUUUCCUUUCAAACAUUGAGGACAAUGUUUCGUUCUGGUUGGGGGGAGGGAAUAGUCGACAAUUGUGGAAUCUUGGUUAAGUUUUUACUAAUUUUUUGUUGUAGAAACUAACUGUUGCUAACUUUUUGUGUUGAAGAUGGCUGAAUAUGGAGUGUAGUUACUCUAGAAACGCAUCUUCAUUGUUCGAAAAAAAAUAAAAAUUCUUUUUCUUUAUUAAGUUUUGAUGUUCAUUUUUCUUCUUCUUUUUAUUUUCUCCUCUAUAAAUAUACAUUUUCCAACUUUUGAGUCGAAGAUGGCUGAAUAUGGAGUGUAGUGCCUCUAGAAACGCAUCUUUAAAAAAAAAAAAAAAAAAAAAAACCAUUUUCUUUUCCUAUCAUUUUAAGUGUAACUUUUCUAAUUAGUUUUUCUACAUCAUUUUCGCAUUUCUGCAUGCAUAUUUUCCUUUCAUGCUUAGAAUAGGUUGGGGGUAGAAUGUUGUUAAAAAAAAAAAAAAAAAAAAAAAAAAUUUGUGUUAUUUGUUUUAACAUUGGAUGACAUGAUUAAUUUCAAAUUUUAGUAUUUGUAUUAUCUUUGGUCUUAAGUGAUGUUACGCUAUGUUUGCUACUUUACAUGUUGAUGUCGGAGACAAAUAUGAGUUGCUUGAAGGAAUGAACAUGUCAUAAAUAAGUGCCAAGUGAGUUGUUGAGCCUAUCAUUUUCUUGGAGAGUAACCCUUUUGCCCAUUCUCUAUACAGCUUAGCAGUUUAUUAUUUUAUACACGAUCUCUAGAUUUCUUUUGAGUUAACCCUUUAAAAAAAAAAUGGUAAAAUUAAAAAAAAAAGAAAAAAGAAAAAAAAUGUGUGUUACUACAUUGGGAGGCCCAUCUAACUAGUAGAUAUGGAUAAUUAUUUAGAGCCCUAAAAGACGAUGGAAAGGCCAUCUUUGAUCCGUUUGAGCCUUUCUAGCCAUCCCUGUUAUUAAAUAUCCAUAGUUACCCCUUUUGAGCCUUUAAAAAAAAAAAAAAAAAAAAAAAACCUUUUCUUUGUCAACUUAUCAUCUUGACCCACUCUGAUUUGGAGUAUUACCCAAUGUCUUUUAAGUUCCAUCACCUAUUUAUGUUUGAGAAAAUGUAAAUAAUUUUGUUGUUCAGUGAAGUUAUGCCAAAUAAAAGCAAAAAGAACAAAAAAAAACAAAAACAAAAUUUGUUGUUUCAAAAGAAUAAGAAUAACAAUAAUAGGUGAAAUCCACCUUGCAACUUCCAAAAAAAAAAAAAAAAAAAAAAAUUUGCAUUUUUCUCAAACAUACACUUUGUUUUCCUUAUUUCCUUUCUUUGUUAGCCAUAUCCCUAGCCUACGUUACGUCCUAAUAAAAGUCCUUCUUGAUUUUAGGGAACUAUAGUUUGAAGUAGAAGCUAGUUAUAUGGGCUAAAAAGAUGUAGUGAUGCAUAAUAAAAAAAAAAAAGAUAAAUAAAGUGGGUUGACUAACAUUUUAUUUGACUUGAGAUCGUAUUAUUUCUAAGCUGAGGGCAUAUUUAUUUCAUCUUGGUGAGAGCAUGUGAUAUCAUUUCUUUAUUAUUUUCUCUCUCAAUUACCAUUCAUUGGAGUGACUAUGUUUAUUGGGUUUUAAUUUCUUUGUGAGAGUGUCACUACUUCCAGUGAGAUUUUGGGGUUUGACAUGUCAUUCUUGAAAGUAGCUAUAACAAAGUCUACUGGGCUAAUUCAUGUGGAUGGUUGAUGUGGGUGUGAUGUUGCUUUAGACUGGAGAUAAUGCUUAUACUUUUAUUUGAUUGCUAUCAUUAAUCUGACGGAAUAAAUACGAGUGUUUCUAUUAAAAAAAAUAUAUAUAUAUUUUAAAUUUGAAUUUUGUUUUCGCUUUAUUUGCUAGGGACUAGCAAUAAGCUGGUUGGGGGGUGUGUUGAGUGUUAGAAAAUGCAUAUUUAUAAAGGAGAAAACCGUCAUUUUACAUUUCAAGUCUUACUAACAACCCUUACUUUUAUGUAUUUAACCUUCUUGUGAUGUAAUUACGUGUGUGUUAUUUUAAUUAAGUAUUUUAUGUAUUUUAGGGGCAUUAUAGUCAUUUCACAAUAAAGGAGAGAUCAGACGGCAAAACGGACAUCACUUUUGAACUCAGGACGGUCGAAAACCUUAGGAGGAGCAUAAAAGGAAAAAUGGCACUAUUCACAUGUACGGUACUAUUCACGUAUACGGUACUGUAUAUGUUACUGUUCACGGCACUGUUCACAUAGACGGAUCGAUGACGUGGCAUUGACCGAUGAUGUGGCAUUGACUGAUGAGGUGUCACGAUCCUGUUGGACUAAAAUUCUUAUGUACUGUUGAUGGUGACGUGGCAGCAUAUCAGUGGACGAAAAAUCUCGCGUACGGUGCAUGCAUCACACAGGAUUAUUUUCAAUCAAACCGUGUUACUGUUCAUCCGCGUGGUCAAACCGUGGACUGUUGACUGAUGACGUGGCGCAAUCCUGAGCGUCCAAACUGUUUUUAAUCCGAUGGCCAUGAUUUACUCCAUGUAUCUAUAAAAAGGGGGCCUCCCCCCCCUAAUUUGAUAUCUCUGAAUCCAUUUUUGGGAUCCAUUUUCUGUAAUUCCCUCUCCAUCUUGUAUUUUCUUUGUAUUUUAAUAAAUUCCCAUUUUGCCCCUAGUUCAAUUAUGAGUAGCUAAUUUCCUUUCAAGCUUGGGUUGAAGGUGAAGUCUCAACAUGUGUCAUGGGCUUUAUUUGGUAAAUUUAUUUUCUUUUCCCCUCUAGUUUUUGUGGAUGAUUUGACUUAUCGUCGACAAAUAAUACUGAUCUUGUCUAGAUACCGCCUUGGUUACACCGGCUCUCUAGUAUAAGGUUAUUAUUAUUUGGCACGAUAAGCCCUUAACACCAUAUUGAUUAGAGCGUGGUUCAUGAGGUGUGGAUUCCCCCCUCAUGAUUUAAUUGGCAUUAAUACGGAUUAUUUAGCCCAUGAUGCAUGUUGAUACGGAUCCAGAUACCCAAGUACGUCAUUUCAAUAGAAUUCUCUUCAAUUUAUUCUCGCCAUUUCAAUUCCAAUUUCAGAAUUUAUUCUCACCAUUUUAAUUUAAGUUUUAGCAUAUUCCAAAUCAUUUCCACCACAGAUCCAAUCAACCAUUUGCAAAAUUAAUUCUAUACACAAUUAAAAUCCACCUCCUCGUGGGAUCGACACUCGUCACCAUUGAUCUAUACUACAAUAGAUUCGUGCACUUGCGAGUACAUUAAAAUUUGCACAACACCUAACACUUGACUUCCUCUGAUAAAAGCUGCUUCUGAGACCAUUUUUGAUAACCCUCGGUUACCUCCUCCAUACACCAAGUGUAAUUUUCUCGCUGCUAUGCUUCGACCAAGAUCUAUGGCUGCCUCCACGAACUCUUUAUGUUUGCCAUAGGUAAAUCCAGAAAGCACACAAAUGUUCUUGAAUUGUCUAUUGGGAGUAGCUGCCAUUGUGAUACUUCUCAAAAACAAUUUGUGAGUGCUUGACAAAAGAUAAAUCACAUUUAAGAAUUUUGGUGACAGUGGAUCACAGCUGUGAAUGAGGUAACAUGUCAGUGUCAAAUAACGCGUAAAGCACGUGGCUCGCGAGUCAAAAAGGAAACAGUAAAAAGGAAAAAGCAAACAGUAAUAAAAUUAUUAAAGACAAUAAUGCAAACAAUAAAACAACAGUGAAAUGAAAUAAAAUAACUGUAAAAUAAAAGGAUAUUUACACGUAGUUGCGACUGUGGCUCACAUCUUCCUCUGGUUUUACGUCCAGAAACGGCUUGAACGCCCUCUAUGGGUCGAGGAUAGGCUUCCCAUCCAGUUUUCUUAUAAACUGACAAACAGGGUCGUUUAUAGUCAGAUUCCCGAGACUAUAUCGUGCAUGCUCUUUCUGGAAUAAUGGCCAUAACUGGAGAAUCGCUCCUUGCACAUAUCCACUGGGAUGCGUUUCAAGAGACAAAAGGAUAUCAUCCAAUGACUCCUUAUUCAAGCCAUCCCUAAUGAAUUGAAUCUUAUCUUCUCUGUUAUCAGACAUCAUUCCUAAAGAACAUGGGUUUCUAUCGCAACUCAUUCUGGCACACUUGUGACAAGCAACAGAAAUUCUUCGAGCUCGUCAUUUUCUUGCAUAAUUUCCUUUACCACAACCAGGCAUGUAUGCAAUAAAUUUAGGAGGUAACUCACCUGCUAAUCGUACUUUAGCCUCGAUUAACCAACGGAUGUCUGCAGGUAUGUUAUUCCUCAUGAGCAAUCGCAUGCGUUCAGACCGGGCUUUAUAGAUUGUAAGGAGGGCAUUCUGAGGAAGUGAAGGAAAUCGCUUGUGAAGCUUUGCUAAAAUCUCAUUUCUAUCCAUACCUUCUCCUCAGAAUAUCAGUUAUUAUGGGAAACUGAAGUUAACCGACUUGAUUGUCACGGAGUACCGUUAUCCGCCACUUUACCGGGGUAACAAACUAAAACACACCAAAAAGAAAAACAAAUUAAAACACACAAGGAAAAUUAAAAUCGUCCUCUUAUUGAAUUUACCUCAAGCUCCAACUGGAUGUCGUAAACACUUCUCUCAAUAUCUCGGAGUUGGCUUUCUAGAUUCUCAACAUAGGCUACUAACUCUGGUGGUUGUAAAGCCCAAAUGCGAUGUGUUUUACAAAAUUGAAUCUGCCUUUUGAGAUGAGUUUUGACACAUUGAAGUGGUUUAAGAAUGUUCAGGAGGAACGGUCUAAGUAUGAUACUCAUGAUUAAAAAUGAUAAGAGAAAACUUAAUAGUUAAACAAACAAACACACUUAUGCAAAAAUAAUUUCAUUUAGCAAAAGAAUAAUAGAAAGAAAGAAAGAAAAAUCAAAUCAGCGAAAAGAAAAAAAAAUCAAUUCAAUUCUGGUGGGUCACUCAAAUUUAUUUCGGUGUUUUCUCCAUGUGCUUGGUACUCUAAAUAUGGCUUUAAUCUUUGACCAUUGACUUUAAACGUGACACCGUUCUUUGGGUCCUUAAUUUCAAUUGCCCCAUGUGGAAAAACAGUAUGAACAAUAAAUGGACCAGACCAACGAGAGCGUAACUUACCUGGGAAUAGGUGCAAACGAGAAUUGAAUAAAAGCACUUUCUGACCUGGAGUGAACGAUUUUCUCAUAAUGUGCUUGUCAUGAAAGACUUUCAUUCAUUGCUUGUAGAUCUUGGCAUUUUCGUAUGCAUUAUUGCGAAUUUCUUCAAGUUCUACCAGUUGUAAUCUUCUUUCUGAGCUGGCAUGCUGCAUAUCAAAGUUGAACUUCUUGAUAGCCCAAUAUGCACGAUGCUCGAAUUCCACAGGUAGGUGGCAAGCUUUUCCAUACACUAGCCUGUAGGGUGACAUCCCAAUCGGGGUCUUGAAAGCCGUUCUAUAUGCCCAUAAUGCAUCAUCAAGUCUUAAUGACCAAUCUUUUCUGUCCGGCCUCACCGUCUUUUCUAAUAUGUGCUUUAUUUCUCGAUUGGAGAUUUCAACUUGGCCACUGGUUUGCGGAUGAUUAGGGGUGGCCACUUUGUGAGUGAUUGAAUACUUUGUCAAAAGUGCUUUAAAUGCUUUGUUACAAAAGUGGGCACCACCAUCACUGAUUAUUGCUCGAGGGAAUCCAAAGCUUGAGACAAUGUUGCUUUUCAAAAAUCCUAUCACCACUUUGUGAUCAUUGGUCCUACAUGGAAUUGCUUCUACCCAUUUCGAUACAUAGUCAACAGCAACCAAUAUGUAUUGAUGGCCAAAAGAAGGGGGAAAGGGUCCCAUGAAGUCGAUACCCCAUACGUCAAAAGUCUCAACCACUAAAAUUGGAUUUAGUGGCAUCAUGUUCCUUCGUGUAAUGCUCCCCAUUCGUUGACACCUAUCACAUGAAGAACAGAAAGUGUAAGCGUCUCGAAAUAUAGUUGACCAAUAAAAACCACAUUGUAAAACUUUAGUCGCUGUUUUCUUAGCACUGAAAUGGCCUCCACAAGCUUGUUCAUGACAAAAUGAAAGGAUAUUCUGAAUUUCACUUUCUGGGACACAUCGUCUAACAAUUUGGUCUGCACAAUACUUGAACAAAUACGGGUCAUCCCAAAAGAAAUUCUUUAUUUCUGCAAAGAAUUUAGCCUUGUCUUGCUUGGUCCAAUGCUCUGGAAAUUUACCUGUAACAAGAUAAUUAACUAUAUCAGCAUACCAAGGUAAUACUUCCACAUUCAUCAAUUGUUCAUCUGGGAAUGACUCAUUUAAUGGUAAUGGCUCUGUAAUUGUGUCAAAAUAGAGACGAGAGAGAUGGUCCGCCACGACAUUUUCUAUGCCUUUCUUAUCUUUGAAUUCCAAGUCAAAUUCCUGCAAAAGUAAUACCCAACGAAUUAGUCUAGCUUUUGCAUCUUUCUUUGUGAGAAGAUAUUUAAGAGCAGCAUGAUCUGUGAAUAUAAUUAUUUUACAACCAAUGAGAUAAGAUCGAAAUUUUUCCAAUGCAAACACUACUGCUAGCAUUUCUUUUUCAGUAGUUGAAUAGUUCAACUGUGCAUCAUUCAAUGUCAUACUAGCAUAGUAAAUAACAUGAGGAAUUCGAUCAACUCUUUGUCCUAAAACUGCUCCUACUGCAUAAUCAGAUGCAUCACACAUGAGCUCAAAUGGUAAGCUCCAGUUUGGGGGCUGAAUGAUGGGUGAUGAUGUCAACAAAUGCUUUAAUUUUUCAAAUGCAACAAGACAUGAAUCAUUAAAGACAAAAGGUACAUCCUUAGCAAGUAGAUUGCAUAAGGGUCUAGAAACUUUACUAAAAUCUUUAAUGAAACGUCUAUAAAAACCAGCAUGCCCAAGGAAAGAUCUUACUUCUCUGACUGUUUUGGGUGGAGGAAGAUUAGAAAUGAGAUCCACCUUGGCUUUGUCAACCUCAAUACCUUUGCUUGAAAUGAUGUGACCGAGAACAAUACCUUGUUUUACCAUAAAAUGACACUUCUCCCAAUUUAAGACUAAGCUCUUCUCGAUACAUCUCUGCAGAACUAAUGUUAGAUGAUGUAAACAUUGAUCAAACGAGUCACCAAAGACAGAAAAAUCAUCCAUAAAGACUUCAAGGAAUCGUUCAACCAUAUCAGAAAAAAUGCUCAACAUGCAUCGUUGGAAUGUAGCAGGUGCAUUACAUAAUCCAAAUGGCAUUCUCCUAUAUGCAAAAGUGCCAAAAGGGCAAGUGAAAGUAGUUUUCUCCUGAUCUUUUGGUGCUAUGGGAAUCUGAUUAUAUCCUGACUAGCCAUCUAGAAAGCAAUAAAAUUCAUGGCCUGCUAUCUAUCAAGCAUUUGAUCAAUAAAUGGUAAAGGAAAAUGGUCUUUACGUGUGACAGAAUUCAACUUUCUAUAAUCAAUGCAUACACGCCAUCCUGUAGUCACUCUAGUUGGUAUCAAUUCAUUAUCGGCAUUCGUAACUACUGUGACUCCUGACUUUUUGGGGACAACUUGUACAGGACUGACCCAUGAACUAUCAGAAAUUGGGUAAAUGAUACAUGCGUCUAAUAGCUUAAGGACUUCUGUUCUAACAACUUCUUUCAUAUUAGGAUUUAACCGACGUUGCAUUUCCCUAGUAGAUUUAGCAUUUUCAUCAAGGUGAAUGUAAUGCAUGCAAUCUACAGGGUCUAUACCUUUUAUGUCUGCUAUGGUCCAUCCUAAUGCCCCUUUGUGCUCUUUUAAAACAUCCAACAACUUACCUUUUUGUUCAUCAUUGAGGGAUGAUGAAAUGAUUACCGGCAAAGUACUUUCUUCCCCCAAAAAUGCAUAUUCCAAAGUGUUGGGUAAUGGUUUGAGCUCGAGUUUCGGUGGUGAUUCUGAUGAUGGGAUGAGUUUCUUCUCUGAUGGUGCUAGUUGUUCAACUCUUGACUUCCAUUUAUUAGUGUCCAUAGAUGGUGCUGAGUCAAGUAGGGCAUUGACCUCUUCGACCGAUCUGUCAAUAUCAAAAUCAAAACCAAAGUGAGUUAAGCAUGUCUGUAAAGGAUCAUCACUAAGGUUUGAAACAAAAGUGUCAUCAACUAAUGCUUCUAUUAAAUCCACAUCAACAAUUCCAUCAUCUGCAUUGUGAGGUUGUUUGGCAAUGUUGAAGAUGUUCAGCUCCAUAGUCAUGUUGCCGAAGGACAACUGCAUAUUUCCAGUCCUACAUUGAAUGUGAGCAUCCGCAGUUGCCAAGAAAGGUCGGCCUAAAAUAAUGGGGAUGUGCUUCCUUGAAUCCUGUAUAGGUUGAGUGUCAAUUACAAUGAAAUCAACAGGAAAAUAAAACUUGUCUACCUGGAUAAGCACGUCCUCCACAAUACCACGAGGUAUUUUCGUGGACCGAUCUGCAAGUUGUAACACCACUGGAGUUGGGUGUAAUUCUCCAAGUCCAAGUUUCACAAACACAGAGUAAGGCAACAAAUUUACACUAGCUCCUAAAUCCAACAAAGCAUUCUCAAUUGUGUGGUUCCCUAUACUACAUGAGAUAGUGGGGGAGCCUGGGUCUUUGCAUUUUAAAGGAAUUUUAUGUUGGAGUAUAGAACUAACGUUUUCUGUUAAAAAUGCCUUCUUUUGAACAUGCAUAUUUCUCUUUUUAGUACACAGGUCUUUAAGAAACUUAGCAUAAGAUGGAACUUGUUUAAUAGCAUCAAGCAAAGGGAUGUUAACACUUACCUGUUUGAAGAUUUCAAGAAUCUCACCUGUCGAUUUUCCCUUCUUUCCUUUAGCUAACCUCUGAGGAAAUGGAGCUUUCGGAACAUAUUCUCGUGGGUUGGUUUCUUUUUUCUCCUCUGGUGAUGAGUCCUCAACAUUCACAGGUACAAUUUGAUUUUCUUUGGUCACCGGCAUCUCCACUUUGUUGUCGACUUCUUUACCUUUUCGCAAGGUCAUGACUGCUUUGACCUCUCCAUGCUGCUGUGGUGAACUGGUACUUGCUUCAUGUACUCCUUUAGGAUUAGGCACUGGUUGACUUGGAAACUUGCCUUUCUCAACAGUCAUUGCCAAGGUCUAAACUGAAGAAGCGAGUUGUCCCACCAUCUUCUCCAGGCUUGAAACUGAUUGAGCUUGUGAGUUGAAGCCUGCUCUCAACUCAUUUCGUAGUCCAUCAAUGGUGCGGUUCUGUUGCUCAAUCGUAGAGUGAGUAACAUUCUUGAAAUUUUGGAAUGCAUCCUCCCAUGGUUUAGGUUGAGAGUAAUUCUGGUUUUGAUUGUAUUGUCUAAAUGGGGGCUGAGAGGCUUGAGGAAUUUGAGGAAUUUGUUGCAUUGGUGGAGCUGGAGCUGCUGGUCCAUUCUGUUGGAAUCCUUGAGACCAUGAAAAAUUGGGGUGGUCUCUCCAUCCAGGGUUAUAUGUGUUGGAGUACGGGUUGUAAUUUGAUGGUUUUCUCAUUACACCUAUAACAUUGGCUUGAUCUGAGUAUGAGUCAGGGUCAUGUGGUUCUGUUGAUUUAGCAGUCGAUAACGAUGCUAUUUGUCGAGCAAGACCCUCAACCAUCUCCUUGACUUCUUUGAUUCCCGAAGUUGACUCGCCAAUUUGAACCUCAUUUACUCCCUUAAUUCUUCUAGUAUUCCUGAGUGAUCGACUCCGUUGUUGGGAAUUAUCCGCUUGUCGCUGGAAGAAUUCCCAAAUCUCUGAUGCACUUUUUGACAUUAGCUCUCCUCCACUUGUUGCCAUUAGCCAUUCUUGCACAUUCGGCAAUAAUCCCUCCAAAAAGUAUUGGUAUUGGUGCCAUUUCUCGUACCCAUGAUGUGGACACUUCAAGAGUAGCCCAUUGAAUCGCUCCCAUGUUUCGAAAAACUGCUCGUCCUCUCUUUGGGUAAACUCUGAAAUUUCCCUGCGAAUAGAAUUAGUUUUAUGCACUGGGAAAUAUUUAUUUAGAAAUUUUGUAACCAUUUGUUCCCAUGAUGCAAUGCUAUUAGCAGGCAAAGUAUUUAACCAUGAACGAGCUCUAUCCUUUAAAGAAAAUGGGAAUAAUCUAAGUUUAACAUCAUCGUCUGAAAAAUUUUCAUAUUUAAAAGUUUGACAAAUGGCAUUAAAAUCAUUCAGAUGAUUAUAUGGGUCCUCAUUUUCUAGGCCAUAGAAUGUGGGGAGACAAUUUAGCACACUAGGUUUUAAUUCAAAACUUCUAGCAGCUACAUUUGGGUAUCUUAUGCAUGAUGUACUCAAAUUAGCUAAGGGACUAAAAUAGUCCUUAAAUGGCCUCUCCUGUGGUGCUUGUAAAUCCAUUCCAAAUUUAUUUUUAAUGUGCUUUUGUGUGCGAAGUGUUUUUUCUAAUUCAAGGUCUAUAGGUUCAAGAUUAGGUAAUAAUGACCUACGACCAUGCAUGCAAAACAAAUAAAAUAAAAAUAAAGAUGGGAACAAAACAAAUAAAAAUAAAGAAGAUGGAGAAAUUACGAUACUAACCUUAUUGCGCUAUUACAACCUUUCUAUAAAAAUACACAAAAAUAAAUACGUGAAAUAAAUUAACUAAAAAUUAAAUUAAUAAAAUAAACAAAAAUUACAAAGAAAAAAUAAAUAAAUUGAAAAUUAAAUUACAGAAUUUUAAAGAAGAGAAAAAGAAAAGAAAUACUAACCUUUAAAUGUAGAUUCACUUUUUUUUUUUAAUAAAAAAUACAAGAAAACAAAUAAAAGAAAUUAUUCACAAAAAUUAAUUCUAUGAAUUAAAAUUACUUACCUUCCCGGCAACGGCGCCAAAAACUUGUUGUGCAAAUUUUAAUGUACUCGCAAGCGCACGAAUCUAUUGUAGUAUAGACUAAUGGUGACGAGUGUCGAUCCCACGAGGAGAUGGAUUUUAAUUGUAUAUAGAAUUAAUUUUGUAAAUGGGUGGUUGGAUUUGUGGUGGAAAUGAUUUGGAAUAUGCUAAAACUUAAAUUAAAAUGGCGAGAAUAAAUUCUGAAAUUGAAAUUGAAAUGACGAGAAUAAAUUGAAGCGAAGAUCUAUUGAAAUGACGUACUUGGGUAUCUGGAUCCGUAUCAACAUGCAUCAUGGGCUAAAUAAUCCGUAUUAAUGCCAAUUAAAUCAUGAGGGGGGAAUCCACACCUCAUGAACCACGCUCUAAUCAAUAUGGUGCUAAGGGCUUAUCGUGCCAAAUAAUAAUAACCUUUGUACUAGAGGGCCGGUGAAACCAAGGCGGUACUAGACAAGAUUAGUAUUAUUUGUCGACGAGAAGUCAAAACAUCCACAAAAAUUAGAGGGGAAGAGAAAGUAAAUUUACCAAAUAAAGCCCAUGACACAUGUUGAGACUUCACCUUCAACCCAAGCUUGAAAGAAAAUUAGCCACUCAUAAUUGAACUAGGGGCAAAAUGGAAAUUUAUUAAAAUACGAAGAAAAUACAAGAUGGAGAGAGAAUUACAGAAAAUGGAUCCCAAAACUGGAUUCAGAGAUAUCAAAUUAGGGGGGGAAGGCCCCCUUUUUAUAGAUACAUGGAGUAAAUCAUGGCCAUCGGAUUAAAAACAGUUUGGACGCUCAGGAUUGCGCCACGUCAUCAGUCAACAGUCCACGGUUUGACCACGCGGAUGAACAGUAACACGGUUUGGUUGAAAAUAAUCCUGUGUGAUGCAUGCACCGUACGCGAGAUUUUUCGUCCACUGAUAUGCUGCCACGUCACCAUCAACAGUACAUAAGAAUUUUAGUCCAACAGGAUCGUGACACCUCAUCAGUCAAUGCCACAUCAUCGGUUAAUGCCACGUCAUCGAUCCGUCUAUGUGAACAGUGUCGUGAAAAGUAACAUAUACAGUACCGUAUACGUGAAUAGUACCGUACAUGUGAAUAGUGCUAUUUUUCCUUUUAUGCUCCUCCUAAGGUUUUCGACCGUCCUGAGUUCAAAAGUGAUGUCCGUUUUGCCGUAUGAUCUCUCCUUUUUUGUGAAAUGACUAUAAUGCCCCUAAAAUACAUAAAAUACUUAAUUAAAAUAAAACACAUGUAAUUAAAUCACAAGAAGGUUAAAUACAUAAAAGUAAGGGUUGUUAGUAAGACUUGAAAUGUAAAAUGACAGAUUUCUCCUUUAUAAAUAUGCAUUUUCUAACACUCAACACUAACUUGUAACACAAUACUCGCAAAAUGGUAAACUUACCAAUUUGAGCCCUGGAAGCAAUUUUCGCUCAGAGAGAAUCCUCAAACCUUGUUAUGACAUGUGGCGAAGUUUGAGAUGCCAUAUUAUCAUUGACUCUUCUCCAUUUGAUGCGACACACGCAUCAGCCUCCUGUAGUGUUUCUCCUUUAAACAUGAAUAGAUUAGCACCGAUCUUUUCUGCCUUCAUCAAUACAAGCACGCCUUUAACGAUCUUCAUAAUUCCAUUCUCCACAUGAGUUUUGUACCCAUGACUAUCCAUUUGUCCCAAAGACAAUAGAUUUUUCUUCAGGUCGUUGACAUGUCGUACCCCCCCCCCCCCAAUUGUGCGAAUUAUACCAUCAAACAUUUUUAUUUUGAUAGUACCAAUAUCAGCGAUCUCCAAGGCAUGAUCAUCUCCUAUAUAUACAAAUCCUCCUGAGAUAGGUUCAUAUGUGUGGAACCAUUCUCUCCGAGAGGUCAUGUGCCAGGUAGCUCCUGAGUUUAUAAGCCAGACAUCAGAUGUCGUUUUCUGCCUUUUGAAAUAGUUGUUGCCUCGCUGUAGAGAAUUUCACCAUCAUCUGAGGUACUUGCUACACACCCUUGAGCAUUUGAUGACUCAGGUUCUUUGCCAUCUCUUCUCUUCUGGUUACUCCAACACUCUUUCUUGAUGUGCCAUUUCUUGCCACAGUUAUAGCAUUUAACAUUCUUCUUACUUCUGGAUUUUGAUCUACCAUGAUUGUGAAUCCCACUAGGGCCACAUUCCGUUGAUCUCCCUCUUGUCACCGAUAGCGCCUUCGCUUGCUGCGAACUUGCUUGUUUGUUUUCCUUAUUUUUCUGCCUGCUCUCCUCAUUUAAUACGGAGGCUGCAACAUCGUCGAAAACUAGAUUGUCUGCUGGAUUGUUGUUCGUCAGGUUGAUGAUGAGUUGAUCAUACGAAUCUGGUAGACUUUGAAGUAGAAGCUCUGCACGUUCAUUUUCCUCUAUAUUAUGACCCAUCGUUGUGAGUUGUGAAAAUAGAGUUUUCAAGGUGUUAAUGUGGUCGGUCACCAUUGUAGAUUCCGCCAUUCAAAGAGCAUAGAGUUUCCUCUUCAAGAAGAUUUUGUUGUGUAGUAACUUGACCUCGUACAAUUUUGUAAGAGUAUCCCAUAUUUCCUUCGCUGUAUUUUUCUCUGCCACACUGGAUAAUACUCCAUCUGCAAGUGCCAAGUGUAGAUCAGAAAUGGCGUUACCAUCUACCUCAUUCCACUUGUCAUCAGUUAUCUCCAUGGGCCUUUCUACAAUUACUGCCAAGCAAUUAUUUUUCCUCAAUACAGCUUUCAUCUUCAUUUUUCACAACGAAAAAUUAUUUCCGUUAAACUUCUCAAUUUCAUACUUUGCCACCAUUUUGUUGAUAAAUACCGCACACAAGCUAGUGUACCACCUUGAAUAGUUGUGAGUAUGUGUGAGAAUGCACAGCAGGAAAGUUCCCAGGAAAGACUGGAGGGGUCACAAUGGUGCCACUUAAAACCCAGACUCCUUAAGCUCUUAUCGCCUUUGUGACAGAACUUUCUUAGACAUGUACAAAACCACACAAUUGUUUUACUCACACCACUAUUCCCUGCUUUGCACCGCAAAAUUAUUGGAUCGCUCCCACCGUUUCACGUGAAUAGUACCAUAUACGUGAACAGUACCAUAUACAUGAAUAGUACCCCUUAUGUGACAGUACCCGACUCUAAAAAUACAACCAAUAGCUUUGAUACCACUGUUAGGAAAUUGGUGGGUGAAGCAGGACUGCAGCUAAAGUAAAAUUGGAAGAAAAAUAAAGAACAAGCACAAUAGAGACACCAGAAAUUACGUGGUUUGCCUUUUAGUCUAUGUUCACGGGCGAAAACAGAAGGAAAAUAUUAUACUAGUGAAAAGGAAUUACAAGUACUGUAGUAUUUUAGCUCACUACCUAAAACCCCAAUACACCCAAACUCUCAAAUCACUAGACUCUUAAAAUCACUCUCUAAAUAAAUAAAAGAACUGAAGAACUCAAUGAUUUACAAAUGAAGGGAGACAACAUUUUUAUAGCCAAAAUUGGCUACUGUUCAUUUAAUAUUUAAUUAUUAUUAUUAUUUUAUUAAUUUUUCUUUUCUUUUCCUUCUUCGGCCUAGCAUCUCUUUUUCUUCUCUCUUUUUUCUUUUUCCUUAUUUUCUUUGGUUUCUUUCUUUGGGCGGUACCUCUCAUUUUUUUUUCUUCUUCAAACUGCUUCGUUUUCCAUUUUCCUUUUCAAGCAUUUCGGUUGGCCCAUUUUCAACAUUUCCAGAAGAGUGGUACCCCAUAUUCAACACAAGAUAAUUUUAUGACCAUCAAUCUUUUGCAGCCAUAUGCAGACUUGAAACACUGUAGUGUCCCUAAGGAACUUGAAAAUUAGAAAGUUUCAGAAUGAGUGACUAAAUAUGAUAAUCGAAACUAAUUUAAUAUACACGCCUUGUAAAUCUGAAACUAAAUUACUCAAAUGUAUAUGCCUCUUCACAGCAAUUGCUCGUGGUGGAAAGUUUACUGCAAAGACUUCCUCAAACCCUUGAAGAUCACACUCUUCCUGGCAACAAAGAAACAGAGUCAAUAUACGAAGAUGAUUUUAUUAACAAGUGAGAGCUUGCAAAUAUUGGAAGGAUAACGAUUAGUCAUAACCCAAAUCCCCAAUGCCUUCUAAUAUCUCACUCACUUGAGUUCAAGCUCCCAAAAUUCACUACAGUGAAACCCUCACAACAAAAUUCUCUUCAAAGAUUCUCUACUCAAAUUUGAUUAAGUUGAUUAGAAUCCUUAACCUGAUAACUUAAACAAAAACAACUUGCCUAAAGUUUAAUAUUUAGAGGCUGAACAGUAAAGAAGAAGAUAUAUAUUGAUACUAAAAUUUGACCUGUAUUAUUCUGACGUAAAAAAUCACGACAUCUCAUAUGGGCAAAAUCUUCACAAUACGAGAUGCUUGCAAAAUUGAAGCAGCAUCUUAUCACCUGUAAUUUAAUUAAGACAAUAACUUUCCCCAACUAUUUCAAUGCAUUAUUGGCAACUAAAUUCAGAGGGCGCUAAUUAAAUAUCCUUUUAAUAAUAUCUUCUUAUUCUUCUCCAAUCUAACAGUUAUUUGGAAAUCUGAAAAGAGGUUCAACAUUUUACAACCAAUAAAAAAUCACUGAACCAUUGGAAAGUGAUUUACGUAUAAUUUUUUUUUUCCAAAUUUUGUCCAAAGUGAUGAAUGAGAUAGGAUGACACAAGAAACAAAUUUAAAUUGACCGCAAGUAGAAAUAUACUUCUGUUAUAUUUGCAACAUCUUCUAGGGUCAAUUGCUUUUCCUUGAGCUCUGUUUCUGCAUGUGCUCAAAUGCAACACACAUACCACAAGAUAUAAUUAUCAACAUGAAUCUUUUGCCGCCAUAUGCAGCACUUAGAAAACUGUUUAUGGCCAUAAAGAACGGGAAAAUCAGAAAUCAUUAACAACGAGAGAAAUCAUUUUAAUCACAGGCAAACAUACACACUAAGAAAAUCUAGAAUUGAAUUUCUCCUAAUGAAUGUGCCUCUUCACAGCAAUUGCACAAGCUAAUCCCAGCAGCCUGCAUCAUCGAGCUUCUCCCAAUGAGUGAGUGAGCCUUGAACAGUUAUCACUUAGCUCAAACUAAAAUGAAAUUAUUGUGGACAUCUGAAUUAAAUAUACAUGUAAAAGGAGUUUUCUCAAAGCAAGGUCAAGAUAAGAGAUUAACUCUGCUCCUUAUUUACAGUAAAAAUAACAAACAAUGAAAAACAGAGCUAGAGAAGAACUUACCUGUGCAUUGAGACCAUGUGGAGAAUGUGAGAUAUCUUCUUAUAUUUGGUUUGAGAAACUCCAUCUUCUUCUGAAAGUUCUGGCAGUUCCCUAAACCCAGGCCAAUACAAUUGCAACAGAAACUGCAUGCUUUAACCAGCAUCUUAUCAUCUCUUCUUAUUUCAAGACAAGAAUAACUUAAUUGCAAGUUUACAACAUUGCGUGAUUCCACCAUUAACCUUUUCAAUUUCAACACUUCUUUUGUCCCCCGCCCGAUGCCCUUUUAAAAAUUCUAUGAAUCAGAUAAAUCAUUCUUCAACCCCAAAUUCCUUCCGAAUCCGUGGAAGCAUUUCAGCCCACAGACGGUUUGCUUUGUCAAUAUACAGCAACUCAGGAUUCUAUAUUUAAACUAUGAUGUUUGAUGACUUGCUGAUGCAAAAAACAUUGCCCCAAGCACUUUUUUACAGGAAUUAAAAUCAAGCCAGUCACUUCCAUUUGUUGCAGUUUUAAUGCAGAAAGAAAAAGGGGCAAAAAAAUCCGCAAGAUGCCACUUGUAAUACCGCAUGUUCGCAAAAGCAGAGUUAAAUAAUUACAAAAUUACAUUCUUGAUUGCACAGAAAUAAUAUAUAGCAAAACAAGCAUAAGGAAAUAACAAUAUAAUUUUACAUUUUUCAGCUUUUGGACUACGUCACAGUCAGAGACGUGAAGAGAAUUUUACUAAGAAAUAAGAGUGUACUAAUAUUAAAGAAAACAUUCACUAAUCGCUAAUAUAUGCUUAAUUUCUCACCCACUAAGAAUGUUCAAUUCACUCAAAUGAAACUUUCACAAGAAAGUCUCAUUAUUAAGGCUUUAGCUUUACUUCACAUGCUCAACAAUUCAAAUUUGAGGAUGAUAUUUCUCAAAAUGGAGGGCUCUAUUUGGCUUGCCAACAAUCUUCCUCACUACUAUCAUCCUUGCUAUACCGGUUGCACUGGACAAUCUUCAUUCUGACAUUUGCCCUGUUAACCUGAGUACACAAGAAUCCAAAACAACUGUUAGAAAUUUUAAUCUUUAUACAUAGCCAAAAUGGUGAAUAAAAUGAUGUACUUGAUAACAAAAACCUGAUUUAAUAAAUAAUUAAGCGGCCGAUAACAAGCACAGAAUCUCAUCGUGUGGGGAAAGCCUUGACAACAGAAGAUGGUGCUUUCAUUCAAGCAAUGAUAACUUUCCAAUUUCAUAAGGUAGCUUAAUGCCCUUUUAAGAAUAUCUGCACCAGCCUGACAAUUAUUGAUGAAAAUUCAAAUUCAGAAUCAUGUUCGUAUGAGAGAUGAAAUGUAAUGAGCAACUUGGCCACCAUGUAUGCAUUUAUCACUUCAAUUUGCUCAUCUUUGUCUAGAUUAUUGCUUAUGCGUUAACUGAAUUAGCGUGCAAGCCACCUGAAAAUGGUUUUAAAUAAUGAGAGUCUGGAUUCGAAUGAAUUAAUCAAAUAUGAUGACAGAAAAUACAAAUGUAAAAUAACCACAAGAAGUAGAAAUAUACUUUUGUUAGAUUUAGAGCAUAAUUCUUCUGUCAAGUUCUUUUCCAUUAGCCUUGUUUCUGUGUGUGCUCAAACGCAAUUCCUCAACACUUAAGAUAGUUUCUGCAGACCUGAAAAACUGGUUGUGGCCCUAAGGAACUUGAAAAUUAGAAAAGAUUCAGAAUGAGUGAAAAUCUAAUUAAACAUACACGCCCUGAAAAUCUGAAACUGAAUUACUCAAAUGAAUAUGCCUCUUCACAGCAAUUGGUUGAAACUUUACUGCAAAGACUUUUUGAAACCCUUGAAGAUAAUACACUACCUGAUAACACAAGGAAACACAAUCAAUAUAAGAAGAUGAUUUUACAAACAAAUGAAAGCUUGCAAUUAUUGAGAGAGCUCUACUCAAAUUUAAUGAGAUAUCUCUCAGAAUGGAGAGCUCUAAUAAUAUAUAAAGCCAAAAAUCUAACACUCAUCAAAUUGGCUUGUGAACAAUUAAUCUUCCUUGCCAUCAUAAAUGCCAGGUAUGGUGAACAAUCUUCAUUCUGACAUUUGCCUUAAUAAGCUGCUUAGUAUCCUUAACCUGAUAACUUACACAAACAAAAACAACUUCACUAAAGUUUAUUCUUUAAAGGCAAAACUGUAAACAAGAUGAUAUAUGCUGAUACAAAAAAAUGACCUAAGUUAUCCUGAUGUCAAGAAUCACAGAACCUCAUGUGGGCAAAAUCAUCGCAAUACAAGAUGCUGAAUUCAAGCAACAUCUUAUCACCUAUAAUUUAAUUAAGACAAUAACUUUCCUCAACUAUUAGCCUUCUCAAUUUCAAUGUAUUAUUGGCAACUAAAUUUAUAGGGGACGUAGCUAAUUAAAUGCCCUUUUAACAAUAUCUUCCCCACCUAACAAUUAUUUGGAAAAUCUAAAUGACAAUCAUGCAUUGAUGGCAUAAAAAAUUGGCCACAAAGCUGCCUAGAAAAAGGCUUUAAAUUCUUAAUGAGACAACGUAUUCGAACAAAUAUGCUGAAUGAAGAGACAAAGGCAUAACACCUCAGGAAGUAAAGCUCUGUUUCUGUAUGUGCUCAAACCAAUGGAAACCCAUGGAAAUGAAUUUCUACAAAUUAGAUAUGUCAGCCAAAACAGGUACUCUAUACAAGCAAAGUAAAAGAGAGUUAACAAAAAAUUUUAAGAUAAUUAAACUUUUAGUCACCAUAUAAUUAAUAGAAAACUUUGUACACAAUGAUUUAUAUGAGAUUAAGAUUGUAUACCUAAGUUUUAAUUGCAAACUAAAUACACACAAAAUGAUAUUAGCAUUAGAAGACUGCACCAAAACGUACCGAAUUGAAUGUACCUCUCAACGGCCAUUUUACAUGCAUUGAAAGUUUACCGCAAAAGCUGUUUCAAACGUGAUGCAUCUUAGAGAUGCAAGAUGAGAAAUUGUUAGUACAACUAGCAUUGAAACAUGUGUGAAAACUGUUAAUGGACCUAAAUAACUUGAAAAUCAGAAAAGAUUAGGAAUGAGUGACUAAGCCUGCUAAUCGCAACUGAGCAAAUUAUUGAAGAAAUAUAUAUCUCAUUUUCUCUUCUUUUAUAAUAGGAUUACAUAAUACAUUUAUAGAUUCUAAACUACAUAACGUGCAAGAGUAGGAAAGUAAACAACUGCAGACCAAGAAACUAGGAAACAAACUCUAUCAAAAAACUGAAAUUCUAUCCCUAUCUUUUUUCUUUUCUAUCCCUAUCUUUUUUCCUUAAAAAUAGGAUAGAAAACAUGUGACUUUUCCACACUCCCCCUCAAGCUGGUUCGAAAAUAUCAAUCAUUCCUAGCUUGCUAGUUAGUGACUCAAAGCUUGAUUUAUGGAGUCCUUUAGUAAGAAUAUCGGCUAGCUGCUUUAUUGUUGGAAUAAAGGUCAUGCAUAUCAAACCACUUUCUAUUUUCUCCUUGAUAAAAUGACGAUCCACUUCAACAUGUUUAGUUUUGUCAUGAUGAACAGGGUUAUGAGCAAUGUUUAUUGCUGCCUUGUUGUCACAAUACAACUUCAUAGGAACAUCAAUAAUAAUCUUUAAUUCUUCAAGUAGCUUCUUUAACCAAAAAAGUUCAAAAAUACCAUGUGCUACUGCUCUAAAUUCAACUUCGGCACUACUUCUUGCAACCACUGAUUGCUUCUUACUCCUCUAAGUUACCAAGUUUCCUCCCACAAAUGUGCAAUACCCUGAAGUUGACCUUCUAUCAAUAACAGAUCCAGCCCAAUCUGCAUCAGUAGAUACUUCAACUUGCAGAUCGUUAUUUUUCUUGAAUAGCAGACCUUUUCCUGGAGUUUUUUUCAGGUACUUAAGAACCUUGUAAAUAGCUUCCAAGUGCUCUUUACAUGGAGAGUGCAUAAAUUGACUAAUAACACUUACUGCAAAGGCUAUGUCUGGCCUAGUAUGAGACAAGUAUAUCAACUUACCAACCAACCUUUGGUAACUUUCUCUAUCCACUGAUUUUCCUUCAAUUGCAUAUCCCAAUUUGUGAUAAGGAUCAAUAGGAGUGUCUCCAGGUUUGCAUCCCAACAUGCCAGUUUCCUUGAGCAAGUCUAAAGUAUAUUUCCUUUGAGAAACAAAAAUGCCUUUACUGGAUCUUGCAAUUUCCAUGCCCAAAAAGUAUCUUAAGGGUCCAAGAUCCUUUAUCUCAAAUUCUCUAGCAAGAACCUUCUUGAGAUUUUCCAUUUCUAUUACAUUGCUUCCAGUCAAGAUGACACCGUCUAUAUAUACAAUGACGAUCACAACACUACCAUCAGUGAAGUGUUUAAAAAACAUUGUAUGAUCUGCUUGACUCUGUAAAUAUCCAAAGCUACAAACAGAUUUGGUAAAUCUAUCAAACCAAGCUCGAGGAGAUUGUUUUAAGCCGUAAAGUGAUCUCUUCAGCUUGCAAACUUUUUCAAUACCAUAUUCAUUCUCAAAACCUGGUGGUAGAUCCAUAUAUACCUCCUCUUCAAGCUCUCCAUUAAGGAAUGCAUUCUUAACAUCUAACUAUUGUAAUUGCCAUCCUAGGCUUGCUGCAAGAGACAACAAAACCCGAAUGGAAUUCAUCUUUGCCACGGGAGCAAAUGUUUCUUGGUAGUCAAUGCCGUAUGUUUGUGUAAAACUUUUCGUGACGAGCCUAGCUUUGUACCGCUCAAGUGACCCAUCUGCUCUGUAUUUAACUGUAAAAAUCCAUUUGCAACCCACUGGUUUUUUUCCUUCUGGUAACUUGACUAGUUCCUAAGUUUUUUUUUUUCUAGAGCUCUCAUCUCUGCAUACACAGCAUCUCUCCAUUCUGGAAUAGAAAGAGCAUCUUGUACAGAUUUUGGAAUUACUAUAACAGACAGGUUAGCUGUAAAAGCUCUAAAAAAUGGAGAUAAUCUAUGAUAUGACACAUACUUAGAAAUUGGAUGAAGAGUACAAGACCUAGUUCCUUUCUGUUGUGCAAUUGGAACAUCUAGAUCAUUUGUAGUUUCUAAAACAGAUUCUAAAAUGUUACCGGCAAGUUCCAAGUUGCCUGUGUUUGGAUCCGAGUCUUGGCAGUGAGGAGAGGAAUGAUGAUUUGACCUUUUCGAAUUUCGUCGUGUGUAGACUUAAAGCUCUGGUUCUAGAACUCUCUCUAAUGAUUUUUCAUUAUUCACAAUUGAUGGCAUUGUAGAAGGAACACGAGUUACACAAGACAUAAUAGGCAUUGGAAGAGAAAAUUCCCAAAAAUGAUCUUCCUGAGUAUGAUCCUCCCCCUGAAGAGAAGUGUUGAGUGUUAGAAAAUGUAUAUUUAUAAGGAGAAAAUCAUCAUUUUACACUUCAAGUUUUACUAACACCCUUACUUUUAUGUAUUUAACUUUCUUUUGAUUUAAUUCCGUGUGUUUUAUUUUAAUUAAGUAUUUUAUAUAUUUUAGGGGCAUCAUAUAUAUUUCACAAUGAACGAGAGAUCAGACUGCAAAACAGACAUCAAUUUUGAAUUCAGGACGGUCAAAAACCUUAGGAGGAGCAUAAAAGGAAAAAUGGCACUAUUCACAUGUACGGUACUAUCUACGUUACUGUUAACGAUAUUGUUCAUAAAGACGGAUCGAUGACGUGACAUUAACCGAUGAUGUGGCAUUGACUGAUGAGGUGCCACGAUCCUGUUGGACUAAAAUUCUUAUGCACUGUUGAUCGAUGAUGUGGCAGCAUAUUAGUGGACCAGAAAUCUCGCGUACGGUACAUGCAUUACACGGGAUUAUUUUCAACCAAACCGCGUUACUGUUCAAGCCGGGUCAAACCGUGUUACUGUUCACCCGCGUGGUCAAACCGCGUACUGUUGACUGAUGACGUGGCGCAAUCUUGAGCGUCCAAACUGUUUUUAAUCUAAUGGCCAUUAUUUACUCCAUGUAUCUAUAAAAAGGAGGCCUCCCCCCCUAAUUUGAUAUCUCUGAAUCCAUUUUUGGGAUUCAUUUUCUGUAAUUCCUCCAUCUUGUAUUUUCUAUGUAUUUUAAUAAAUUCCUAUUUUGCCCCUAGUUCAAUUAUGAGUAGCUAAUUUUCUUUCAAGCUGGGGUUGAAGGUGAAGUCUUAACAUGUGUCAUGGCUUAAUUUCGUAAAUUUAUUUUCUUCUCCCCUCUAAUUUUUGUAGAUGAUUUGACUUUUCGUCGACAAAUAAUAAUAAUCUUGUCUAGAUACCGUCUUGGUUUCACCGGCUCUCUAGUAUAAGGUUAUUAUUAUUUGGCACGAUAAGCCCUUAAUACUAUAUUGAUUAGAGUGUGGUUCAUAAGGUGUAGAUUCCCCCCUCAUGAUUUAAUUGGUAUUAAUAAAGAAUAUUUAGCCCAUGGUGCAUGUUGAUACGGAUCUAGAUACCCAAGUACGUCAUUUCAAUAGAUUUCUCUUCAAUUUAUUCUCGCCAUUUCAAUUCCAAUUUUAGUAUAAUCUAAGUCAUUUUCACCCUAAAUCCAACCACCCAUUUAGAAAAUUAAUUCUACACACAAUUAAAAUCCACCUCCUCGUGGGAUCGACACUCGUCACCAUUAAUCUACACUACAAUAGAUUCGUGCACUUGCGAGUUCAAUAAAAUUUGCACAACAAGUUUUUGGUGCCGUUGCCGGGGAGGUAAGUUAUUUUAAUUUGUAGAAUUAAUUUUUGAGAAUAAUUUCUUUUAUUUGUUUUCUUGUAUUUUUUUCUUAUAAAAAAAAGAAAAAUAAAAAUGAAUCGACAUUUAGAGGUUAGUAUUUCUUUUCUUUUUCUCUUCUUUAAAAUUAUGUAAUUUAAUUUUCAAGUUAUUAUUUUUUUCUUCUUUGUAAUUUUUGUUUAUCUUACUAAUUCUUUUUAAUAAAUUUAUUUUACGUAUUUUUUUGUGUGUUUUUAUAGUAAGGUUGUAAUAGCGCAAUAAGGUUAGUAUCGUAAUUUCUCCUUCUUUUUUUAUUUUUAUUUGUUUUGUUCUCAUCUUUAUUUUUAUUUUAUUUGUUUUGCAUGCAUGGUCCAAGGUCAUUAUUACCUAAUCUUGAACCUAUAGACCUUGAACUUGAAAAAACACUUCGCACACACAAACAAGUCAAAAAUAAAAUGGAUUUGCAACCACAGGAGAGGCCAUUUUAGGACUAUUUUAGUCUCUUAGCUAAUUUGAGCACAUCAUACAUAAGAUACUCAAAUGUAGCUGCUAGGAGUUUUGAACUAAAAUUUAGUGUGCUAAAUUGUCUCCCAACAUUCUAUGGCUUAGAAAAUGAGGACCCAUGUAAUCAUUUGAAUGAUUUUCAUGCUAUUUGUCAAAAAUUUAAAUAUGAGAAUUUUUCAGAUGAUGAUGUAAAACUUAGACUAUUCCCAUUUUCUUUAAAGGAUAGAGCUCGUUUGGCUUAAUACAUUGUCUUCCAAUAGUAUUUCAUCAUGGGAACAAAUGGUACCAAAAUUUUUGAAUAAAUAUUUCUCAGUGCAUAAAACCAAUGCUAUUCGUAAGGAAAUUUCAGAGUUUACCCAGAGAGAAGACGAGCAGUUUUUCGAAACAUAGGAGAGAUUCAAUGGGCUACUCUUGAAGUGUCCACAUCAUGGGUACGAGAAAUGGCACCAAUGCCAAUACUUUUUGGAGGGAUUAUUGCCGAAUGUGCAAGAAUGACUAAUGGCAACAAGUGGAGGAGAGCUAAUGUCAAAAAGUGCAUCAGAGAUUUAGGAAUUCUUCCAGCGACAAGCGGAUAAUUCCCAACAACGGAGUCGAUCACUCAAGAAUACUAGAAGAAUUAAGGGAGUGAAUGAGGUUCACAUUGGCAAGUCAAGUUCAGAAAUCAAAGAAGUCAAGGAGAUGAUUGAAAGUCUCGCUCGACAAUAGCAUCGUUAUUGACUGUUAAAUCAACAAAGCCACAUGACCAUGACUCAUACUCAGAUCAAGCCAAUGCCAUAGGUGUAAUAAGAAAACCAUCAAAUUACAACCCAUACUCCAACACAUAUAAUCCUGGAUGGAGAGACCACCCCAAUUUUUCAUGGUCUCAAGGAUUCCAACAGAAUGGACCAGUAGCUCCAGCUCCACCAAUGCAACAAAUUCCUCAAGUUUCUCAAGCCUCUCAGCCACCAUUUAGACCAUACAAUCAAAACCAAAACUACUCUCAACCCAUACUAUGGGAGGAUACAUUCCAGAAUUUCAAGAAUGUUACUCACUCCACGAUUGAGUAACAGAACCGCACCAUUGAUGGACUACGAAAUGAGUUGAGAGCAGGCUUCAACCCACAAGCUCAAUCAGUUUCAAGCCUCGAGAAGAUGGUGGGACAACUUGCUUCUUCAGUUCAGACCUUGGCAAUGACUGUUGAGAAAGGCAAGUUUCCAAGUCAACCAGUGCCUAAUCCUAAAGGAGUACAUGAAGCAAGUACCAGUUCACCACAACAGCAUGGAGAGUAAAAGCAGUCAUGACCUUGCGAAAAGGAAAAGAAGUCAACAACAAAGUUGAGAUGCCGGUGACAAAAGAAAAUCAAAUUGUACCUGUGAGUGUUGAGGACUCAUCACCGAAUGAGAGAGAAGAAACCAAACCACGAGAAUACAUUCCGAAAGCUCCAUUUCCUCAGAGGUUAGGGAAGGAAAGAAGGGAAAAUCCACAGGUGAGAUUCUUGAAAUCUUCAAACAGAUAAGUGUUAACAUCCCUUUACUUGAUGUUAUAAAGCAAGUUCCAUCUUAUGCCAAAUUUCUUAAAGACCUUUGUACUAAAAAGAGAAACAUUCAUGUUCAAAAGAAUGCAUUUUUAACAGAAAACGUUAGUUCUAUACUCCAACAUAAAAUUCCUCUAAAAUGCAAAGACCCAGGCUCCCCCACUAUCUCAUGUAGCAUAUGGAACCACACAAUUGAGAAUUCUUUGUUGGAUUUAGGAGCUAGUGUAAAUCUGUUGCCUUAGUAUUUUUGAAACUUGGACUUGGAGAAUUACACCCAACUCCAGUGGUGUUACAGCUUGUAGAUCGGUCCACGAAAAUACCUCAUGGUAUUGUGGAGGACGUGCUUAUCCAAGUAGACAAGUUUUAUUUUUCUGUUGAUUUCAAUGCAAUUGACACUCAACCAAUCCAGGAUUCAAGGAAGCACAUCCCCAUUAUCCUCGGCCGACCUUUCUUGGCAACUGCGGAUGCUCACAUUCAAUGCAGAACUGGAAAUAUGCAGUUGUCCUUCGGCAACAGGACUAUGAAACUGAACUUCUUCAACAUUGCCAAACAACCUCACAAUGCAAAUGAUGAAAUUGUUGAUAUGAAUUUAAUUGAAGCAUUAGUUGAUAACACUUUUCUUUCAAACCUUAGUGAUGAUCCUUUACAAACAUGCUUAACUCACUUUGGUUUAGAUUUUUAUAUUGACAGAUCGGUCGAUGAGGUUAACGCCCUACUUGACUCAGCACCAUCCAUGGACACUAAUAAAUGGAAGUCAAGAGUUGAGCAACUAGCAUCAUCAGAGAAGAAACUCAUCCCAUCAUCAGAAUCACCACCGAAACUCGAGCUCAAACCAUUGCCCAACACUUUGGAAUAUGCAUUUUUGGGAGAAGAAAGCACUCUACCGGUAAUCAUCUCAUCAUCUCUCAACGAUGAACAAAAAGGUAAGUUGUUAGAUGUUUUAAAAGAGCACAAAGGAGCAUUAGGAUGGACUAUAGCAGACAUCAAAGGUUUUCAAGACCCCGAUUGGGAUGUCACCCUACAGGCUAGUGUAUGGAAAAGCUUGCCACCUACCUGUGGAACUCGAGCAUCGUGCAUAUUGGGCUAUCAAGAAAUUCAACUUUGACAUGCAGCAAGCCAGCUCAGAAAGAAGAUUACAGCUGGGAGAACUUGAAGAAAUUCACAAUGAUGCAUACGAAAAUGUCAAGCAACGAAUGAAAGUCUUCCAUGACAAGCAAAUUAUGAGAAAAUCAUUCACUCCAGGUCAGAAUAUUUGUGUGCUUUCUGGAUUUAACUAUGGCAAACAUAAAGAAUUCGUUGAGGCAGCCAUAGAUCUUGGCCGAAGCAUAGUAGAGAGAAAAUUACACUUGGUGUAUGGAGGAGAUAACCGAGGGUUAUCAAAAUUGGUCUCAGAAACUGCUUUUAUCAGAGGUAGCCAAGUGUUAGGCAUCAUCCCAAAAGCCCUAAAACUUUUGGGCAGUUUGAUUGACUCAUCGAUUGGAGAAGAGUUAGUCGUCUCAGAUAUGCAAGAACAAAUAACUAAAAUGCUUAAUCAUGCUUAUGCUUUUAUUUUCCUUCCAGAAGAUCCUGCAACACUAGAGGCACUUAUCACACUAGCAUUUUGGGCCCAUCUGCACAUUCACUAGAUACCCAUCGGUUUGUUAAAUGUCAAUAACUUUUAUGAUGGCUUCAUCGCAUUUCUUAGCCAUGCAAUAAAAAAUUAUUUCAUUCCUUCCAAUGUGAAAAAAUUUUUUAUUUGUGCUCACACUGCUAAUGAGCUACUUGAUCUGUUACAAGCUUAUAGACCGGAGCCAGACCCCUGGACCUUUGUGUUGGAGCGUCCAAAUAAUGAUGGUAACAGUAGCCGCAGUAAUUAGUAUUAAAAAUUGUUUAAUUAUCAAGCGAUAAUAUGUUAUUUUAUGCUUAUGUUAUAAUUUAUAUUUGUGUUUAUGUAAUAUAUUAUGAAUUAUUAAUUAUGUGUUCAAUAUAUUUAAUUUUGUGUAUUUUUAUGUGUUUAUUAGGAAAAUAUUAAUUUCACGUACUUCGAGGCUCCAAACAAAUAAACGGAGGUCAAAUUUAGAUUUCAGAGGUUCGAAAACCUUAAGAUCAGUCAAGAUCGGCUUAAAAUUGGGCUUGUGUAAAAAAAAGUUGACUUUUCCUGUUGACCGAGCACUGAUUGGAUGAUGAAAUGAGCUUACAAUAGAUAUGAGUGCAUGGGAUAGCUGGCAAUCUUGACUAAAUCUCAACCGUUCAUGAUUCAAUGGUCAUGAUUGUGCCCCGUGGCAAUGGUUGGUGAAGCAAGUUGGAGGAUCCGAAUCUUUGUAUUCGGGUCGACCCGAUCCACCCAUUAACCCGCCAAAUCUCAACCGUUCUUUGGGCAAAUCGGACGAGUCAAAUGAUACCACGUGUGAUGUUGACUUUUGAAGUUUGAGCAGCCAUUGGAUCUUGAUCUAAGGGUUGUGAGGAGCACAUGCAUGAAGCCUAUGAUGGACCGCAAAGCACUGGAUUAUGAAUUUAUUUUUCUAUAAAUAGAGCCUUAUUUUUAUGUUUUAAUCAUCUCUCUACAACUCUCUUCUUCUCAAAUUAUCUCCAUCUCCUUGUAAUCUUGAUUUCCAGGUGUGUUUUUAAUAUUUUAUAUAAUUAUUUUUAUAAAUAAAAUUAGUUUUAUUUCCAAUUUUAGUUGUUUUUAUUUCUUUUAAUUAUAAGUAAUUCAAUUUUAUUACUUCUUUUUAUUUUAAUUAUGCUUAACUAAAUAAUAUUAAUUAGGGGAAGGUGAAACUCUUAGGAAAUAAAUAUGAUUUAAGCAAAUUCUAUUCUUAAUUUUAUAAAUUAAAUUAUUUUCUAUUUAAUUUUAUACAUAUUUUAUAUUUUGAAAUUUUGAUUUAUUGUAGACAAACAAAUGAAUUUGGCACAAUAAAUUCUUAAUAUCUUAAUAUAAGGUAUGGUAAAAUGGUAUUUUGACUUAUUGUAGACAAAUUAAAUUUUGGCACAAUAAAUACUUAAUCCAUCAUAAAAUUAAAGGGAAAAUAACAAUAAUUUAUAUAAUUAAUCUUUUGGGCAAUAAUGUAAAAAAAAAGGGCAAAAAGAAUUUAUUAAGUUUUAUUUACUUCUAAGAGUUGAUCCAUAACCCUAACUAGUUCAAUUUCAUAGUUUCAUUUAAAUUAAGUUUUUUGUAUUUAAGUUUUAAUUUCAAUUUUUAGUUAAAAUAAAGUAAACUAAUUAAAUCUUUUCUCUGUGGAUCGACCUCGAACUCACCGAGUUAUAAUACAACAAGACACUUUUAUACUUGAGAGUUAAAAAUUACUUUUAAGUUGUGUCAAGUUUUUGGCGCCGUUGCCGGGAAAAGUUUUUAUUUUGCUUUAUUUUUUUGGUUUUUGAUUUUUCUCUUUAUGUAAAUUUUCGUUUGUCCCCUUUUUUUUUCUUAAAUUCUCUUUUGUCCUCAUAUCUUUCAUAAUUCUCGUUUCACCCCAACAAGCCCAUUUCUAGCCCAAUUUCUAGUAAUUACAUUCUGACCCCAACAUCUUUCAGUCGUUUCAUUUUCAUCCCAAAUUGCUAAUUCUAAACUUCUAAAAAUUACAAUUUGACCAUAAAAUUAAAAAUAAUUUGCAAUAGAAUCCCUAGACGAUUCCUCAAAAUAAUUAAGACUUGGACAUACUUUGGACAUAUUUGGACUUAUUUUGGACUUAAUUUGGACCAAACUAACUUUAACUACUAACUCUAAUUACUAACUCUUAACUUACUAACUGCUAACUCCUAACUUUUUUUUAAUUUCAUUUAUUUAAUUUUCUGCAUUUAUUUUAUUUCGUAUUUAUUUGUUUAUUUUUGCUUUAUUGGUGGGUUUAACCACCAAACUAACUACUAACUACUAACUCUUAACUUUUAUUUUCAGUUAUUUAAUUUUAAGAAUUUAUUUAAUUUUGCUUUUUUUUUAAUUGGUGGGUUCAACCACCAUUUUUUUUCUUUUUCUUUUUCUUUCUCUUGCAUUUAUUUUAUACGUAAUUUAUUGUUAAUUGGUGGGUUCAACCACCAAAAUUGUUAUUUAAUUUUCUUUUGUACACUUAUAUUAUUUGCUUAUUUUUUAUUUAUUUUUUUAUUUUAUUAUCAAUUUGUGUAAAUAUUAUCUUUAUAACAUAACCAUUGCAUGAGGCGUUGGUCUCGAUCUUCAAGUGAGAAUCAAGGAUGGAUGAGAAUCAAGGCGAAAACGUUUUGGGCAAACUUAAUCCUCAAAUUGAUCAGGGAGACAACCAAUCUCAACAUGGGCAUGAUCAGAAUCAACCAAGGACUCUGAGAGACUACAUGAAUCCAACCAGAACCGGAGCACCGUCGUGUAUAGUAUUUCCUCCAGAAGCAUCUCGAUUUAAUUUUAAACCAGGUAUUAUCCAACUUUUACCAACAUUUCAUGGUUUAGAAUCUGAGAAUCCGUACUUGCAUCUAAGAGAUUUUGAGGAAGUUUGUAAUACAUACACGGACCAAAAUUGUAGCAUGAACAUAAUUAAAUUAAAACUUUUUCCUUUUUCAUUAAAAGAUAAAGCUAAAACUUGGCUACAAAACCUUAGAUCUGGAUCAGUAAGAACUUGGAAUAACAUGUAAGAACAGUUUUUGAAAAAAUUCUUUCCACCUCAUAGAACAAAUUCUUUUAAAAGGCAAAUCACUUCUUUCACUCAAAAAAAUGGAGAAACAUUAUACCAAUGUUGGGAUAGGUUUAAAGAGUUGCUUAACAUAUGCCCACAUCAUGGUUUUGAAACUUGGCGAUUGGUCACUUACUUCUACGAGGGCUUAAUACCCCAAAGUAGACAGGUUGUUGAAAUGAUGUGUAAUGGUGAAUUUAGGGAUAAAAAUCCUGAAGAUGCACUAGAUUACCUUGACCAAUUAGUUGAAAAUGCACAACAUUGGGAUACUGUUGGAACUUUUGAAUUGACAAAUAAGCAACAAUUAUCUCCAUCUAGUGGAGGAAUCCAUAACCUUAGGGAAGAUCAUGAUUUACAAGCAAAAUUUGCAUCCCUAGUUAGGAAAGUUGAAGCUUUGGAGUAUAAAAAGAGUGAUCAAGUAAAAUAUGUUCAAGAAAUUAUAUGUAACAUAUGUAAUUCGAAUGAUCAUUUCACUCAAGAGUGUCCCACUUUGCCUGCACUUAAAGAAUGUCUAAAUGAUCAAGCUAAUGUCAUUAACACUUUCAAUAAACCAAACCCAUAUUCACAGACUUAUAAUCCUGGUUGGAGAAAUCAUCUGAAUUUCAGUUGGAGGAAUAAUAAUAAUGCACAAUCUUCACAAGCACCACCUCUACAAAAUUUUCAAAAUCCUCAGCCUUAUGCACCAUAUGUUCCACCACCCUGGAAAAAUCUGGAAGACACAAUACAUUUAUUCAUCAGAAAGCAAGAUGUUAUUAACAAUCAAAAUGCACAAACUUUUUCUGAUUUGAAAGAUACUCUUGCUAAAAUUGCUUCUGCACUCACCAUUCAAGAAAAAGGAAAAUUUCCAGCCCAACCACAACCAAAUCCUAAAAUUCAACAAAAUCCACUCACAGACCAAGUCAAGUCAGUUAUAACUCUUCGUAGUGGUAAGGUUGUUGAUAGACCUAUGCCUGAACCUUAUGAAAAUGAUGAAAAUUCAAAGGGUAAGGAAGGACUAAAUGAACUUACACCUAGUGAAGAAAUAACUAGUGUUCCAUCUGAACCACCAUUUCCGCAUGCAUUGAAUAAACCAAAGAAAUCAAACCACUCUUUUGAAAUUUAUGAAAUCUUUAAGCAAGUGAAAGCUAACAUUCCUCUAUUAGAUGCAAUCAAGCAGGUUCCUUCAUAUGCCAAAUUUUUAAAGGACUUGUGCACUAUUAAGAGGAAAUUGAAGGUAAGAAAGAGUGCUUUCAUGGCCGAACAGGUAAUUACAAUUUUGUUUACUAAUAAUAAGUUGAAAUAUAAAAGAUCCUGAUUGUCCUACUAUUUCUUGUAUUAUUGGUAACCACAUAAUUGAGCAUGCUUUACUAGAUCUUGGUGCUAGUGUUAAUUUACUUCCAUAUUCAGUUUAUCUUCAACUUAAUCUUGGUGAGUUAAAAUCAACUUCAACUACAUUUUUACUUGCCGAUAGAUCAGUUAAAGUACCAAAAGGAAUAGUGAAAGAUGUUUUAGUAUAAGCUGAUAAAUUUAUUUAUCCUGUGGAUUUUAUUAUCUUGGAAACUGAACCUGUUGUGAAUAAUUACAAACCAAUUCUUGUAAUUUUAGGUCGACCAUUUUUAGCAACUGCUAAUGCUUUGAUUAAUUGUAGGAAUGGUUUAAUGAAUUUAUCCUUUGGGAAUAUGACUUUGGAAUUGAAUGUUUUCAACAUGUGCAGGCAACCUAAUGAAGAAAAUAAGAAUGAAGAUGAUACUGAUGAACAAAAGGAAUUGUUUGAAUCUUGUAUCGAGGAAAAUAUUCAAAAAGGGGAUUUUUCUAAACUCUCAAAUGUUUGUUUAGUUAAUUCAAUUGAGUCAAAUAAGCAACUUGAACUUAAUAUUUCUAAUAUAAAUUCGUUGCUUGAUUCUGUGCAGACUUCACAAAAUUAUGAUGACGAGCCAAAAUUUGAGGAGCUUGGAAGUAUUGAAAAGACAGAACAACAAGAAGUGCCUAAAAUGGAAUUGAAACAUUUGCCUGAAGGAUUGAAAUAUGCUUUUCUUGGAGAAGAACAAACUUAUACUGUUGUGAUUUCUUCUAUUUUAACAAGCGACCAAGAAGGUAAGUUACUAAAUGUUCUUAAAAAGUAUAAAAAUGCAAUUGGAUGGACUUUAAAUGAUAUUAAAGGCAUUAAUCCCCUAAUCUGCACUCAUAGAAUUAAUUUGGAAGAAAAUGCUAAAACAUGUCAACAACCUCAAAGAAGAUUAAACCCACACAUGAAAGAGGUAGUCAAAACAGAAGUCUUUAAAUUGCUUGAUGUGGGAAUUAUCUACCCUAUUCUUGAUAGUAAGUGGGUAAGUCCUACACAAGUAGUGCCAAAAAAAUCUAGAAUCACUGUUGUUAAAAAUGAAAAAGGUGAAUUAAUUCCAAUACGAAUUACAUCUAGUUGGCGCAUGUGCAUUGACUAUAGAAAAUUAAAUGAAGCCACUAGAAAAGAUCAUUUUCCAUUACCAUUCCUUGACCAAAUCUUAGAAAGAGUAGCAGGACAUCCCUACUACUGUUUUUUAGAUGGAUAUUCGGGCUAUUAUCAAAUUCCUAUAGCACUCGAGGACCAAGAAAAGACCACAUUUACAUGUCCAUUUGGAACAUUUGCAUUUAAAAGAAUGCCAUUCGGGCUUUGUAAUGCUCCUGCAACAUUUCAAAGAUGUAUGUUAAGCAUUUUUUGUGAUAUGGUUGAACAUUGUUUAGAGGUCUUUAUGGAUGAUUUGAUUGUGUUUGGGAAUUCUUUUAAUGAUUGCCUCGAUAAUUUGGAUAAAGUUUUAAAAAGAUGUGUUGAAAAAGAACUCGUGUUGAAUUGGGAAAAAUGUCACUACAUGGUUACUUCUGGAAUUGUUUUGGGUCAUGUUGUUUCUAUUAAAGGAAUUGAAGUUGACAAAGCAAAAAUCGAAGUCAUAUCUAAAUUGCCACAACCAAAAACAGUUAGAUAUGUGCGAUCUUUUUAGGACAUGCAGGAUUUUAUAGGAGGUUUAUAAAAAACUUUAGUGCCAUAUCUAAACCACUUUAUAACCUCUUAUUAAAAGAUGCAUCGUUUGAAUGGAAUGAUGAUUGCCAAAAAUCUUUUGAAAAAAUAAUUUGUCUUUUAACAUUUGCACCUAUUAUGCAAUCUCCUAAUUGGUCUUUGCCAUUUGAAUUAAUGUGUGAUGCAAGUGAUUUUGCUGUUGGUGCUGUUUUAGGACAAAGAAGGGAUGGUAAGCUUUUUGUGAUUUAUUAUGCGAGUAAGACUUUGGAUAGUGCUCAAAUGAAUUAUUCUACAACUGAAAAAGAAUUACUUGCUGUGGUAUUUAUAUUAAACAAAUUCCGUUCAUAUUUGCUUGGCUCUAAAUCUGUUGUGUUUACUGACCACGCUGCUGUGAGAUAUUUGAUGAGUAAACAGGAUGCCAAACCGAGACUAAUUCGUUGGAUUUUGUUACUACAAGAAUUUGACCUUACCAUCAAAGAUAAAAAGGGUGCUAAAAAUGUUGUUGCUGAUCAUCUAUCAAGACUCGCAUAUGAAUUCUGCAAUGAUAUAACACCUAUAAAUGAUUCUUUCCUUGAUGAAUUUUUAUUUUCUGUUACUUCAAUGCCAUGGUAUGCUAAUAUUGUUAAUUUUCUUGUUAUAGGUAAAAUACCUUUGCAAUGGAAUGCUCAAGAGAAGAAGAAAUUUUUUGUUGAAGUAAAGAAAUUUUAUUGGGAUGACCCUUAUUUGUUCAAGUAUUGCCCAGAUCAAAUUUUUCGGCGAUGUAUUCCUGAUAAUGAGAUAAGUAGUGUCAUUAAUUUUUGUCAUUCUAAAGCAUGUGGUGGUCACUUUUCUUCAAGAAAAACUACUGCUAAAAUUUUACAGUGUGGAUUAUUAUUGGCCUACUAUGUUUAAAGACACAUAUGAAUUCUGCAAAAGUUGUGAAAAAUGUCAAAAAUUGGGAUCAAUUACAAAAAGAAACAUGAUGCCCUUAAAUCCCAUACUUGAAAUUGAAAUAUUUAACUGUUGGGGAAUUGAUUUCAUGGGUCCAUUUCCAUCAUCUUUUAGAUUUGUGUAUAUAUUAAUUGCAGUUGAUUAUGUCUCAAAAUGGAUUGAAGCAAUUUCUUGUCGAAAUAAUGAUAUUAAAACUGUGAUUAAAUUUUUAAGAGAAAACAUUUUAAGUCGAUUUGGAAUCCCUCAAGCCAUUAUCAGUGAUGGAGGUAAGCAUUUCUGUAAUAAGUCAUUUGAGUCUUUAAUGAAGAAAUAUGAAAUUACACAUAAAAUUGCUACCCCUUAUCAUCCUCAAACAAAUGGUCAAGUUGAAUUAGCAAAUAGGGAGAUAAAACAAAUUUUGGAAAAAACAGUUAACCCAAACCGAAAAGAUUGGUCUCUUAGACUUAAUGAUGCACUUUAGGCUUACCGUAUUGCAUUUAAAACGUCAUUAGUAAUGUCACCCUAUCAGUUAGUUUAUGGUAAACCUUGUCAUUUACCUGUUGAACUUGAACAUAAAUCACUUUGGGCUAUUAAAGCUUUUAAUUCAAAUUUGGAUGAUGCUGGUAAUGUGCGAAAAUUGCAAUUGAAUGAACUUGAGGAAUUAAGGAAUGAUGCAUAUGAAAAUUCAAGAAUUAUUAAGGCAAGAAUAAAAGCAUUUCAUGAUAAAAGAAUUUUUCGAAAAACAUUUGAGAUUGGUCAAAAAGUGUUGCUUUAUAAUUCUCGUCUUCAUUUAUUUCCAGGGAAGUUAAAGUCAAAAUGGAAUGGUUCAUUUGUUGUAAAAAAUGUAUAUUCACAUGGGGCCAUAGAAAUUGAGAAUCCAAAGAAUGGUGUCACAUUUAAAGUUAAUGGUCAAAGAUUAAAAUCAUAUCUGGAACAUCACCCACAUCACGAGGACACCGAAAUUAAUUUGGGUAACCCACCAGUUCUUGAUUAAGUCUUUAAUGAUUUAUUUUAUUUUAAUUUUUUUGUUUUACAUUCUUUUACUGUUUCAUUGUUUGAUUUUUUUUCUUUUUCUCUCGAUUGAUGCACUGUACAUAGUUUUUGUUUAACAUUAUUUUUCUUGUGUAAGCGUGUUUGUUUGACAGUUGUACAUUCUCUCAUCAAUUUUCAUUUUACAUCAUGAGCACCUCAAUGAGAAAAUUCUUGUUUGCACAUCUUAAAAGAUUUCUGCAUAUAAAAUUUCACUUAAGAGGCCUGAUACAAAGCUGUAAAUCACAUCCACUUUGGGAUCUGCAACCACCAGAAUUCGUGUCCUAUGUUGAGGAUCUAGAGGGACAACUUAGAACAUUAGAGAGUGGCAUAUAUGAAUUUUAAAUGGAGCUUGGGUUAACUCAAUGAGAGGACGAAUGUAAGUUCAUUUUCCUUUUAUAUUGUGUGCUUCUUUUUGCUCGCUUUCACGCUUGAUUUGAUUUUACAAAUUUGAUUUUGGUGUGUUUUGAUUUAUUUUCCCGUAUAAAUGGCGGAUAACGGUACUCUGUGACUUCUUAAGUCGGUAUCUUCAGUUUCCCACAAUAACUGAAACCCCAAAAUCAAACAUAGAAGAAAUACAACAUAAACUCCAUAAGCAUUUUCCCUCUCUCCCUCAGAAUGCCCUCAGGAAAAUUUACAAAGCUCGUUGUGAACGACUGCGUUUGUUAAUGAUCAAUGGCAUUCCUUCUGACAUUCGUUGGUUAAUUGAAGCAAAGGUCCAAUUAGCAGGUGAGUUUUCUGGUCCAUUUGUUUCUUACAUGGCUGGUUUUGGUAAAAGUACGUUUGCUAAGAAAAGGAGAGCUAAACGACUUGGCUCAAAAUGUCAUAACUGUGUAAGACUUGGUUGCAAACGACCAGAUUGUAAAUCUUUAGGAAUGGUUUCUGAUACUCGUGAAGAUAAAAUUAAAUUCGUUAAAAAUGGCAUGUGUAAAGAAUCGUUGGAUGAUAUCUUACGAUCUCUUGAGACGCAUCGAAGCAGAUUUGUGUAACGUGAGAUUUAUAAUUUGUGGAUACUAUUCUAAAAAUAAAGUGCACAGUUUAGUCUUGGGAAUCUGACUCAAAAAGACCAUGUUUGCCAGUUUAUAAGAAAACUGGAUGGGAAGCCGAUCCUUGACCCAUAGAGGGCGUUCAAGCCGUUACUGGACGUAAAACCAGAGAAAGAUGUGAGCCACAAUCACAACUACCAGUAAAUAUCCUUUCACUUCACUGUUAUUUUACUUUACUGUUAUUUUAUCAUUUGCAUUAUUGCAUUUAGUGAUGUGAUUUUGUAUUUAAUAAAUAUUUGGUUUCUUUUACUGUUUACUUUUUCUAAUUAUUAUUUUCUUUUCACCGUUUGUUUUUGAAUUAUUGAGCCACGAGCUUUACUCGUCAUUUGACAAAUAUGCCAACCCAUUUACAGCUAUUUCUUAUUAUUUAUAUCACCAAGAUCUUUAAAUAUGAGCUCAUUUUUCAAACACUCAUAACUUGUUUUUGAAAAAUUUGUCCAAUGGCAGCAUCUUCGAGUAAACAAUUCAAAAAUAUUUGUGUGCUUUCUGGGUUUCAUUAUGGAAAGUACAAAGAGUUUGUUCAGGCAACUGUAGAUCUUGGUCGUGUCAUAGCAGAGAGGAAACUGCAUAUUGUAUAUGGAGGAGGUGAACGAGGGUUAUCAAGACUUGUCUCAGAAGCUGUUUUUACCAGAGGAAGCCAAGUACUCGGCAUUAUCCCAAAACCCAUGAAACCGCUAGUGUGCAUGUCUGGUCUACCAAUUGGAGAAGAAUUAGUGGUAUCAAGUAUGCAAGAGAGAAUAUCUGAAAUGAUGAAUCAUGCUGAUACUUUUAUUUUCUUGCCAGGAGAUCUUGCAACUUUUGAGGCACUGAUUACAUUUGCAUCUUGGGCCCACUUGAACAUUCAUCAAAAACCCAUCGGUUUGUUAAAUGUUACUAAUUUUUAUGAUGGCUUGCUAACUUUUAUUAACCAUGCAAUAAAGAAUCAUUUUGUUCCACAUUCUUUGAAAAAACUCUUUAUCUCUGCUUCUACUGCUAAUGAGUUACUUGAUCUUUUACAAGCUUAUACACCAGAGCCAGAUCCAAAGACUUUUGCACUGAAUUGGUCGACUGAUGAUGGUAGCAGUAACAGUAGCAGUAAUAAGAAGUGCGAUUUAGAUUUAACUCUCCGUCUGUAAAUAUUUUCUGUUGUAGUGUUCAUGUGUUGUCUUCUAAACUCUUUCUCUUUCCUUUUAAAACAUUAAGGACAAUGUCUUUUUCAGGUUGGGGGGAGAGAAUAGUUGAUAAUUGUGGAAUGUCUUAGUCCUGGUGAUGUGUUUACAAAAAUAAAAAUAAAAAUUUUUUUUUCUGUAAAGACUAACUUAGGACAAAUUUGAGUCGAAGAUGGCAGGAUAUAGAGAAUGUAGUACCUCUAGAAACGCAUCUUCUUAAUCUUAAGGGUGUUAUUAAAAAAAAAAUUGAAUUUCUCUUCAUCUUUGUUAUCUGCUUGUAAGCUUCUGCAUCAAGUUCAGGUGAGAUCUCCUCUUCUUCUUCUUUUAUUAUUCUCUUUUAUUUUUAUUUUUUUUGCAUAUUUGUAAAAUUAUAAAAUGUUAAGAUAAUGUUUAGAUUAGGUUGUGGGGUGGGGAUAAUUGACGAAUGUUUUAAAUAUGUGGGGUGUGUUGUUUUUCACUUUUCUCUUUUCUUUUCUUUGUUGAAAAAAAAACAAAAAAAAAACAUUUUUAUUUUGUCUAGGAUGGCCGUGUAAAGAGUCACGACUUUUGAGACGCAUCCUAAUAGUCUUGUUGUAUUAUAUUUUGAUUUUGAGAUUCAUAGUAAAUUAUUUUUGUUCCCUUUUCUUUGAAUUACUCGAAUUUGUGAACUCUCCAAUUGGUUAUUAAGUUAUUUAAUUGUUUACUCAUUUAACAGGUAUUAUUGAAUCAUUCUUGAUGCAGCGGAAGUUUAAUGUUCAAAAUAUUCCGUUGAUUCUAGAGAAUACCAGAAUAAAAGAACAGCUAAAUUCACGUUGAUUCAAAAGAAUACCGCGAACUUAGGGAUUUAAGACUCAUUGAUUCCGCAGAAUACCGAGAAUUAACUGUUCAAAUACUCACAAAGAGAUUUGAAAAUUGAAAUAUUAUUGAACUCAAAAUUCUGCCUCUAUAGGCUACAAGAGGGAGCUAUUUAUAGUAGUAGUAAUUAUCCUAAUUUAUGAAGUAAAAACAAAAUCCUAAAUUGAAAGAGAAACAAAAUUCUAAAUUAGAAAGGAAUUUAAAAGUCUUAAACUUUAGUUAAUAAGGAAACUAAUCCUCGUAUAAUAUAGAUUCCUACUCUUCAUCAAUUCUUUACACACACACACUAUGACACAUACUAGUGGGUUGUAAGUUAAAAUUUUACAGCAUUUAGUUCUUUUGAUUUAUUAGGAAUAGUAUCUAAGGUAGUAGAAAGUGUAUAUUUCCAAAAAAAAAAAAAGUAGAAAAAAAUUGUUUUUAAUUUUUCCAUGUCUAGAACCCGAGUAAUUAAGUCCAUAGGGGUGCUUCAACACCUAGUGUCCUAAAGUCAACUGGUCUAGGAGUCACUGACCUAAAGCUCACUACAUGGGUAAUAGAUAUAUUGUUUGUUUAUUAGAAACCCGAGUAAUUAAGUCCGUAGGGGUGCUUCAACACGUAGUGCCAUAAGGCCAACUGGUCUGGGAGUCACUGACCUAAAGCUCGCUACACGGGUUAGAAAUGUAAUAUUUUAAAAAUAUGUGUGAAUAAUAUAUUGCUUAAAGAUAUAAUUUCUAAUGAAUUUUGGAACGAAAAUGUUGUUUUUCUUUUAAUGAAGCCUCAUAAGUAUUGUGUUAAUUACUUGAGCACAAAAGAAGGUUUAAUGAUAUUUUAGAUAAUGAGUGAACAUCAAUGUGGUAAAGAAAUCUGGGAGAGUUCAUUUAUUUAGUAAUUUGAAGGAUGGAUGAACAACUAUUAACUUGCAUGUGAAUUUUAUAAAUCUUAAUUUAAUAUAACGCUUUAAUUGCUAGAGGGCUAGCAAUAAGCUGGUUGGGGGGGUGUGAUUAGUAUUAAAAAUUGUUUAAUUAUCAAGCAAUAAUAUGUUAUUUUAUGCUUAUGUUAUAAUUUAUAUUUGUGUUUAUGUAAUAUAUUAUGAAUUAUUAAUUAUGUUUUCAAUAUAUUUAAUUGUGUAUUUUUAUAUGUUAUUAGGAAAAAUAUUAAUUUCACGUACUUCGAGACUCCAAACAGAUAAACGGAGGUCAAAUUUAGAUUUUAGAGGUCCGAAAACUUUAAGAUCAGUCAAGAUCGGCUUAAAAUUGGGCUUGUGUAAAAAAAAUUAACUUUUCCUGUUGACCGAGCACUGAUUGGAUGAUGAAAUGAGCUUACAAUAGAUAUGAGUGCAUGGGAUAGCCGGCAAUCUUGACUAAAUCUCAACUGUUCAUGAUUCAAUGGCCAUGAUUGUGCCAUGUGGCAAUGGUUGGUGAAGCAAGUUGGAGGAUCCGAAUCUUUAUAUUCGGGUCGACCCGAUCCACCCAUUAACCCGCCAAAUCUGAACCGUUCUUUGGGCAAAUCGGACGAGUCAAACGAUGCCAUGUGUGAUGUUGACUUUUGAAGUUUGACCAGCCAUUGGAUCUUGAUCUAAGGGUUGUGAGGAGCACAUGCAUGAAACCUACGAUGGACCGCAAAGCACUGGAUUAUGAAUUUAUUUUUCUAUAAAUAGAGCCUCAUUUUUAUGUUUUAAUCAUCUCUCUACAACUCUCUUCUUCUCAAAUUUUCUCCAUCUCCUUGUAAUCUUGAUUUCCAUGUGUGUUUUUAAUAUUUUGUAUAAUUAUUUUUAUAAAUAAAAUUAGUUUUAUUUCCAAUUUUAGUUGUUUUUAUUUCUUUUAAUUAUAAGUAAUUCAAUUUUACUACUUCUUUUUAUUUUAAUUAUGCUUAACUAAAUAAUAUUAGUUAGGGGAAGGUGAAACUCUUAGGAAAUAAAUAUGAUUUAAGCAAAUUCUAUUCUUAAUUUUAUAAAUUAAAUUAUUUUCUAUUUAAUUUUAUACAUAUUUUAUAUUUUGAAAUUUUGAUUUAUUGUAGACAAACAAAUGAAUUUGGCACAAUAAAUUCUUAAUAUCUUAAUAUAAGGUAUGGUAAAAUGGUAUUUUGACUUAUUGUAGACAAAUUAAAUUUUCGCACAAUAAAUACUUAAUCCAUCAUAAAAUUAAAGGGAAAAUAAUAAUAAUUUAUAUAAUUAAUCUUUUGGGCAAUAAUGUAAAAAAAAGAAGGGCAAAAAGAAUUUAUUAAGUUUUAUUUACUUCUAAGAGUGGAUCCAUAACCCUAACUAGUUCAAUUUCAUAGUUUCAUUUAAAUUAAGUUUUUUAUAUUUAAGUUUUAAUUUCAAUUUUUAGUUAAAAUAAAGUAAACUAAUUAAAUCUUUUCUCUGUGGAUCGACCUCGGACUCACCGAGUUAUAAUACAACAAGACACUCUUAUACUUGGGAGUUAAAAAUUACUUUUAAGUUGUGUCACGCAGUAAGAAGUACAAAUUAGAUUUAACUCUCCGCCUGUAAAUAUUUUCUUCUGUGUUACACCACCCAGGUGAUGUCCUCUAAACUCUACUUCUUUCCUUUCAAACAUUGACGACAAUGUUUCGUUCUGGUUGGGGGGAGGGAAUAGUCGACAAUUAGGGAAUCUUGGUUAAGUUUUUACUAAUUUUUUGUUGUAGAAACUAAUUGUUGCUAACUUUUUGUGUUGAAGAUGGCUGAAUAUGGAGUGUAGUGACUCUAGAAACGCAUCUUCAUCAUUUGAAAAAAACAAAACAAAAAAAAUUCAAAAAAAAUAAAAAAAAUUCAGACAUUUUCUUUUUCUUUAGUAAGUUUUGAUAUUCAUUUUUCUUGUUCUUUAAUUUCUCCUUUAUAAAUAUACAUUUUUAAAUAUUUGAGUUGAAGAUAGAUGAAUAUGAAGUGUAGUGCCUCUAAAAACGCAUCUUCUUAGUAAAAAAAAAAAAAAAACCAUUUUCUUUUUCUAUCAUUUUAAGUGUAACUUUUCUGAUUAGUUUUUCUACUUCAUUUUCACAUUUCUGCAUGCAUAUUUUCCUUUUAUGUUUAGAAUAGGUUGGGGGGUAGAAUAUUCUUUAAAAAAAAUUGUGUGAUUUGUUUUAACAUUGAAUGACAUGAUUAAUUUCAAAUUUUAGUAUUUAUUUUAUCUUUGGUCUUAAGUGAUGUUACACUAUGUUUGCUACUCUACAUGUUGAUGUCGGAGACAAAUAUGAGUUGCUUGAAAGAAUGAACAUGUCAUAAUAAGUACCAAGUGAGUUUUUAAGCCUAUUAUUUUUCUUGGAGAGUAACCCUUUUGCCCAUUCUUUAUACAGCUUAACAGUUUAUUAUUGUAUACACGAUCUCUAGAUUUCUUUUGAGUUAACCCUUAAAAAAAAUUGUAAAAUUAAAAAAAAAAAGAAAAAAAUGUGUGUUGCUACAUUUGAAUGCCCAUCUAACUAGUAGAUAUGGAAGGUUAUUUAGAGCCCUAAAAGACGAUGGAAAGGCCAUCUUUGAUCCGUUUGAGCCUUUCUAGCCAUCCAUUUUAUCAAAUAUCCAUAGUCAACCCUUUUGAGCCUUAAAAAAAAAAAAAAAUUUCUUUGUCAAACUUAUCAUCUUGACCCACUCCGAUUUGGAGUAUUACCCAAUAUCUUACAAGUUCCAUCACCUAUUUAUAUUUGAGAAAAAUGUAAAUAAAUAAUUUGUACAGUGAAGUUAUGCUAAAAAAAAAAAUUGUUAGUUCAAAAAAAAGAAGAAAAAAAUAACAAUAAUAGGUGAAAUCCACCUUGCAACUUCUGAAAAAAAAAAUUCCUCUGCAUUUUUCUCAAACAUACACUUUAUUUUCCUUAUUUCUCUUCUUUGUUAACCAUGUCCCUAGCCUACGUUACGUCAUAAUAAAAGUUCUUCUUGAUUUUACGGAAUUAUAGUCUGAAGUAGAAGCUAGUUAUAUGGGCUAAAAAGAUGUAGUGGUGUAUAAAAAAAUAAUAAUAAUAAAUAAAUUGGGCUGACUAGCAUUUUUAUUUGACUUGAGAUCGUAUUAUUUCUAAGCUGAGGGCAUAUUUCUUUCAUCUUGGUGAGAGCACGUGAUAUCAUUUCUUUAUUAUUUUCUCUCAAUUACCAUUCAUUGCAGUUACUAUUUUUAUUGGGUAUAAUUUCUUUGUGAGAGUGUCACUAUAUCCAGUGAGAUUUUGGGAUUUAACAUGUCAUUCUUGAAAGUAGCUGUGACAAAGUCUACUGGUCUGAUUCAUGUGGAUGGUUGAUGUGGGUGUGAUGUUUCUUUAGAUUGGAGAUAAUGCUUAUACUUUUAUUUGAUUACUAUCAUUAGUCUAAUUGAAUAAACAUGAGUGUUAAAAAAAAAUAUUAUUUUGGAUUUAAAUUUUGUUUUCGCUUUAUUUGCUAAGGACUAGCAAUAAGUUGGUUGGGAGGUGUGUUGAGUGUUAGAAAAUGUAUAUUUGUAAAGGAGAAAAUCGUCAUUUUACACUUUAAAUUUUACUAACACCCUUACUUUUAUGUAUUUAACUUUCUUUUGAUUUAAUUCCGUGUGUUUUAUUUUAAUUAAGUAUUUUAUGUAUUUUAGGGGCAUCAUAGUCAUUUCACAAUGAACGAGAGAUCAGACUGCAAAACGAACAUCAAUUUUGAACUCAGGACGGUCGAAAACCUUAGGAGGAGCAUAAAAGGAAAAAUAGUACUGUUCACAUGUACGGUACUAUUCACAUAUACGAUACUGUCUACGUUACUGUUCAUGACACUGUUCAUAUAGACGGAUCGAUGAUGUGGCAUUGACCGAUGAUGUGGCAUUGACUGAUGAGGUGUCACGAUCCUGUUGGACUAAAAUUCUUAUGUACUGUUGAUCGAUGACGUGGCAGCAUAUUAGUGGACCAGAAAUCUCGCGUACGGUACAUGCAUUACACAGGAUUAUUUUCAACCAAACCGCGUUACUGCUUAAGCCGGGUCAAACCGUGUUACUGUUCACCCACGUGGUCAAACCGCGUACUGUUGACUGGUAACGUGGCGCAAUCCUGAGCGUCCAAACUGUUUUUAAUCCGAUGGCCAUGAUUUACUCCAUGUAUCUAUAAAAAGGGGGCCUCCCCCCUAAUUUGAUAUCUCUGAAUCCAUUUUUGGAAUUCAUUUUCUGCAAUUCCUUCUCCAUCUUGUAUUUUCUACGUAUUUUAAUAAAUUUUCAUUUUGCCCCUAUUUCAAUUAUGAGUAGCUAAUUUUCUUUCAAGUUUAGGUUGAAGGUGAAGUCUCAACAUGUGUCAUUGGCUAAUUUGGUAAAUUUAUUUUCUUCUCUCCUCUAAUUUUUGUUGAAAAUUUGACUUUUCGUCGACAAAUAAUAAUAAUCUUGCCUAGAUACCGCCUUGGUUUUACUGGCUCCCUAGUACAAGGUUAUUAUUAUUUGGCACGAUAAGCCCUUAACACCAUAUUGAUUAGAGUGUGGUUUAUGAGGUGUGGAUUCCCCCCUCAUGAUUUAAUUGAUAUUAAUAAAGAAUAUUUAGCCCAUGACGCAUGUUGAUACGGAUCCAGAUACCCAAGUACGCCAUUUCAAUAGAUUUCUCUUCAAUUUAUUCUUGCCAUUUCAAUUCCAAUUUUAGUAUAAUCCAAGUCAUUUUCACCAUAAAUCCAACCACCCAUUUAGAAAAUUAAUUCUACACACAAUUAAAAUCCACCUCCUCGUGGGAUCGACACUCGUCACUAUUAAUCUACACUACAAUAUAUUUGUGCACUGAGUUCAAUAAAAUUUGCACAACAAGAAGUUUUGGGAAAGAAAGACCUAUUUUCAAAAAAUGUAACAUCCAUUGUGACGAAGAAUUUUUUAAACAAUGGAUCAUAACAUUUGUAGCCUUUUUGAGUAGGAGAAUAGCCAAGAAAUACACAUUUUAAAGCCCUAGGAUCAAGUUUGCUCCUGUUCUGUUUAUGAACGUGAACAAAAGCAAUGCACCCAAAAAUCUUUGGUGGUAAAGAUGUGAAAACCUUAGCGAAGGGAUAGAAUUUUGUGAAAACAUUUAAUGGAGACUGAAAAUUAAAGAUUCGGGUAGGCAUACGAUUUAUCAAGUAUGAUGCUGUGAGAAUGGCUUUACCCCAAAACUGUUUUGGCACUUUAUUUGUGAACAUAAGAGAGCGUGCAACUUCUAAUAGGUGUCGAUUUUUCCGUUCAGCAACACCAUUUUGCUGAGGAGUAUCUACACAAGAGAAUUGGUGCACAAUACCAUUUUCCAUGAAAUAAUGACCAAGGGCAGUAGCAAAAUACUCUCUCCCAUUAUCAAUUCUAAAGACUUGAAUUUUUGCUUGAAAUUGUGUUUGAAUCAUGGUAUGAAAGGUUUUAAAAACUGUUGCAGUUUCUGAUUUUUCUUUAAGCAAGUACACCCAACAAACACGAGUGAGGUCAUCAAUAAAAGUUAUGAACCAUUUAGCCCCCGAAAUGUUUGUAACACGAGAGGGUCCCCAAAUAUCAUUGUGUAUAAGAGAAAAAGGUGCAGAUUUUUUAUACGGCUGUGAAGGAAAAGAUGCACGAUGAUUUUUGGACAAUACACAAAUUUCACACUGAAACAAAGAAAGAUUUUUAUUCUUGAACAGUAAAGGAAACAAAUGUUGUAAAUAAGAAAAACUAGGAUGACCUAAUCGGAGAUGCCACAACAUUAUUUCAUCUUCAAUAGAGAAAGUUAGUUCAUUAUUUGCUGACUGAGCUUCUCCACACAAACUAACAUCCUCCUCGAAGUAGUACAAACCAUCUACCUCUCUAGCACUGCCAAUCUUCUUCCCCGAACACAGGUCCUGAAAUUCACAAUAGGAACGAGAAAAUUUAGCAAUGCAAUGAAGAUCCUUGGUAAUUUUGCUAACAGAUAAAAGGUUACAAGACAAAUUAGGAACAUGAAGAACAGAUGUUAACACCAAAUUUGUGGAGAUAGGAAUAGAUCCUUUUCCUGCUACGGAAGAUAGUGAACUGUUGAAUGUUAGAAAAUGUAUAUUUAUAAAGGAGAAAAUCGUCAUUUUACAUUUCAAGUCUUACUAACAACCCUUACUUUUAUGUAUUUAAGCUUCUUGUAAUUUAAUUAUGUGUGUUUGAUUUUAAUUAAGUAUUUUAUGUAUUUUAGGGGCAUCAUAGUCAUUUCACAAUAAACGAGGGAUCAAACGGUAAAACAGACAUGACUUUUGAACUCAAGACGGUCGAAAACCUUAGGAGGAGCAUAAAAGAAAAAAUGGUACUGUUCACAUGUGCGGUACUGUCUACCUUACUGUUCACAUAGACGGAUCGAUGACGUGGCAUUGACUGAUGAGGUGUCAUGAUCAUGUUGGACUAAAAUUCUUAUGUACUAUUGAUGGUGACGUGGCAGCAUAUUAGUGGACCAAAAAACGCACGUACGGUACAUGCAACAUAUGGGAUUAUUUUCAACCAAACCGCGUGGUCCAACUGUGUUACUGUUCAAACCGCGUGGUCAAACCGCAUACUGUUCACGCGUACUAUUGACGCGUACUGUUGACUGAUGACGUGGCACAAUCUUGAGUGUCCAAACUGUUUUUAAUCCGAUGGCCAUGAUUUACUCAAUGUAUCUAUCAAAAGGGGACCUCUCCCCCCUAAUUUGAUGCCUCUGAAUCCAUUUUUUGACUCUGUUUUCUAUAAUUCCUUCUCUAUCUUGUAUUUUCUAUGUAUUUUAAUAAAUUUCCAUUUUACCCCUAGUUCAAUUAUGAGUGACUAAUUUUCUUUCAAGCUUGGGUUGAAGGUGAAGUCUCAACAUGUGUCAUGGGCUUUAUUUGGUAAAUUUAUUUUCUCUUCCCCUCUAGUUUUUGUGGAUGAUUUGACUUCUCGUCGACAAAUAAUAAUAGUCUUGUCUAGAUACUGCCCUGGUUUCACCGGCACCCUAGUACAAGGUUAUUAUUAUUUGGCACGAUAAGCCCUUAGCACCAUAUUGAUUAGAGUGUGGUUCAUGAGGUGUGGAUUCCCGCACUCAUGAUUUAAUUGGCAUUAGUAAGGAUUAUUUAGCCCAUAACGCAUGUUGAUACAAAUGCAAAUACCCAAGUACGUCAUUUCAAUAGAUUUCUCUUCAAUUUAUUCUCGUCAUUGCAAUUCCAAUUUUAGAAUUUAUUAUCGCCAUUUCAAUUCCAAUUUUAGGAUAAUUUAAAUCACUUCCACUACAAUUACAACCACCCAUUUACAAAAUUAAUUCUACACAUAAUUAAAAUCCACCUCCUCGUGGGAUCGACACUCGUCACCAUUAGUCUAUUCUACAAUAGAUUCGUGCACUUGCGAUUCAAUAAAAUUUGCACAACAUGAACCAUCAGCAAUUUUAAUUUUUUGACUACCAGAACAUGGAAUAUAUGAAGAAAAUAAUUUAGAAUGGCUGGUCAUAUGAUCGGUUGCUCCUGAAUCGAUGAUCCAUGGAUCUUGUUUCUCAUAAACAACUCCUAAAGCAGUGAAAUUAUUACCUUUCUGGGCUAAAGAACUAAAGGACGAAGGAUUUGGGAGAGAUUGUGACUGAUUUAGAAACCUGUACAGUUGCUCUAACUGCUCUUUAGUGAAGAGUUGAGAUUUGGUUUCUCCAGUAUUGGUUGUCGGCCGAUUCUCCCCAACAACUUGGAAACCACGACUAUGUUUACCAGAGAAUUUAUUGUUUUUCAGAUUUGGAGGUUUUCCAUGAAACUUCCAACAUGCAUCUCUAGUAUGUCUUGGCUUAUGGCAAUAAUCACACCAAACUCUGUCCUUCUCAUCACUCUUCUUCAAGUUUUUUGUUCCACCAACCAGUGGAGCUUCUGGUGUAACAGAGAUCAAGGUUGAGUUCUCUGCUGAAGAACCUCCCAUCAUCACAUUCUUUCUACUUUCCUCUCUUCUUACAUAAGAAAACACUUCCCUGGUAGAAGGAAGAGGUUCCUUUCCAAGUACUCGCCCACGGACUUCAUCAAGGUCUAAACUCAAACCUGCUAAGAAUUCAAAUACACGCUCUUUUUAUAACAUCUUCUUGUAUUUAGCACUAUCAGCAGCACAUUCCCACUCGCCAUCAUAGUAUUGAUCUAACUCUUGCCAUAAGCCCUUCAAAAUAUUGUAGUAUUUAGUCACUCCUUGACUACCUUGUUUGGUUUCUCACAUUCUGGUUUUUAGAUCAUAAAUCUUAGCAGAAUUUCCCAAAUCAGAAUAGGUCUCGGUGACAGCAUCCCACAAAUCUUUUGCUGUUGGCAGAAACAAGUAAGUUUGACCUAUUUCUUGUUCCAUUGAAUUCACUAACCAUGACAUGAUCAUUGAGUUAUCAGCAUCCCAAGUUUGAAACUUUGGGUCGUCUUCAGUUGGUUCUUUAAUUGAACCAGUAAGGUAACCAAUCUUCCCUUUACCUCUGAUAAACAUCUUCACAGAUUGGGACCACUGAAGAAAAUUUUGACCAUUCAAUUUAUGGGUUGUGAUAUGAAGUGAUGGACUAUCAUUAGAAACAUAACUUGAUGGUCGUAGAUGCCAUUGCAACUGCUCUGAAGAUAACUCAGAAGUUUCUUGGUCGCUAUACUUUGACUUUGGUAUUCAAAUAGAAUUGAAAACUAAACCCAAGAAUCAAAGAGCGGCUAUGAUACCAUGAGAAAAUUAUUGAAGAAAUAUGUAUCUCAUUUUCUCUUCUUUUACAAUAGGAUUACAUGAUAAACAUAUAAAUUCUAAACUACAUAACGUGCAAGAGUAGGAAAGUAAACAACUAACUGUAGACUAAGAAACUAAGAAGCAAACUCUAUCAAAAAAUUGAAAUUCUAUCCCUAUCUUUUUUUCCUUAAAAAUAGGAUAGAAAACAUGUGACUUUUCCACAGCAACUAAACAUACAAACCUUGAAAUCCAAAAUUGUACUCGAUGAAUGUGCAAUUGCUCGAGCAGGUAAAUUUACUGCAAAGGCUCUUACAAACCCUCAAAGAUGAUACUCUGCAUACCAUGGUAACCUGAAUAACAAAAAGAAACACAGUGAAUAUUAAAGGGCAAUCUGACAAUGCAAAUUUGUGCAAAUUAACAACUGUGGUUACCUGCAUAAUAGUCUUAAUUCCGAAUUCCUUCCUCCAUGGAAGCAUAUGAUCAGCCCACAUGUGCUUUGCUCUGUAGCUUUUGAGUACCUGAAAUUGUUAUUACAACCAACGGUGAAAAUUGGGUGAAAAAAUGGUAAUAUUAGCAUAAUUGAAUUUGCUUAUAGAGGAUAAACCGAUCAAAGAAAAAAACAAGAUAGAAAUGAUUAUCUUAGUACCUUAAUAUCAUGCAAUAAAAAUCAUCAUGCCAUCCAGGCAGCUAUCCAUCCUCAAUUGAAACAGAGCAGACCUGGCCAUCACUUUCUUCUUCAAAGUCCAGCAACUGAACGUUGCACACAACACCACAGUGGAAGUAGUUACAUCACCAGCCUAAUCCUUGAUUACCCCAAUGUUCUCCAUAGGGUCUUCAAAGUCAACCUAAAAAUAAAAUGAAAAUGCAAUGCAUUAUUAUUAGGGAUCUAGUGCUUGAGCUUGCUUUGACAUCAUGGUAUUAGCAAAUUCUGAUAUUGCCAAAAUGGUAAACAAGAUGAUGUACUUGAUAAGAAAAACCUGAUUUAACAAAUAAUUAAGAAGCAGGUACCAAUCACAUAAUCUCAUCAUGUGGGGAAUGCCUUGGCAACAGAAGAUGGUGCUUUCAUUCAAGCAAUAGCAACUUUCCAAUUUCACAAGGUAGUUUAAUGGCCCUUUUAAGAACAUCUGUACCAGCCUAACAAUUAUUCAUGGAAAUUAAAAUUCAGAAUCAUAUUAGAUUAAGAGAUGAAAUAUAAUAAGCGAUUUGGCCACCAUAUAUGCAUUUAUCACCUUCAAUUCGCUCAUCUUUGUCUAGAGUAUUGCUUCUGCAUUAACUUAAUUAGCUUCCAAGCCACCUACAAAUGGUUUUAAAUAAUGUGUGAAAGUGUGAAUUCGAACGAAUUAAUCAAAUAUGCUGACAGGAGAAACAAAAGUAAAUAACCACAAGAAGUAGAAAUAUACUUUUGUUAUAUUCAGAGCAUCUUCUUGCGUCAAGUUCUUUUCCUUUAGCUCUGUUUCUGUUUGUGCUCAAACGCAAUGGCUCAAGGGUCCAGAUAAUUUUAUGACCGUCAAUCUUUUUGCAGCCACAGCAAACUUGAAAAAAUGAUCGUGGCCCUAAGGAACUUGAAAAUUAGAAAAGAUUCAGACUGAGUGACUAAAUAUUAUAAUCGAAACUAACUAAAUAUUAUAAUCGAAACUAAUUAAACGCCUAGAAAAUUUGAAACUGAGCAAUUGCUUCUGGUGGAAACUUUACUGCAAGGACUUUCUCAAACCCUUGAAGAUCACACUCUACCUGAUAACAAAGAAACAGUCAAUAUACGAAGCUGAUUUUACUAACAAGUGAGUGCUUACACAUAUUGGAAGGAUAAUGAUUACUCAUAACCCAAAUCCCCAAUACUCCCUAAUAUCUCACUCAAGUGAGUUCGAGCUCCCAGAAUUCACUACUGUGAAACUCUUACAACAAAAUUCCCUUCAAAGAUUCUCUACUCAAAUUUGAUGAUGAUGUCCCUCGAAAGGAGGCAAAAAAUCUAACACUGAUCAAAUUGGCUUGUGAACAAUUAAUCUUCCUGGCCAUCAUGCAUACCAGGUGUGGUGAGCAAUCUUCAUUCUGACAUUUGCCUUAAUAAGCGGCUUAGUAUCCUUAACCUGAUAACUUACACAAACAAAAACAACUUGAUUAAAGUUUAAUAUUUAGAGGCAGAACAGUAAAGAAGAUGAUAUAUAUUGAUACUAAAAUUUGACCUGCGUUAUCCUGUCGUCAAGAAUCACGGCAUCUCAUGUGGGCAGAAUCUUCGCAGUACAAAUGCUUGCAAAAUUGAAGCAACAACUUAUCACCUGUGAUUUAAUUCCAUGCAUAAUACGACCAAAAGUAAAACUUUUUGCCAGGGCUCUGUGUUUCUGUUUGUGCUAAAACCAAUGGAAACCGAUGGAAUGAAUUUCUAGGAAUUCGACAUAUCAGCCAAAACAGGUACUCUGUACAAGCAAAGUAAAAUAGGGUUACAAAAAAUUUUAAGAUUGAUAUGAUAAUUAAAAUUUCAGUCACCAUAUAAUUAAUAGAAAACUUUGGACACAAUGAUUUAUUGCAUAUUAAGAUUGCUAUACAAAAUAUAUUAUUAGCAUUAGGAGACCGCACCAAAGCAUACCGAAUUGAAUGUGCCUUUUUACAGCCAUUUUACAAGCUUUGAAGCUUUACCACAAAUGCUUUUUCCAACCCGUGAACAUGAUGCACCCGAAAGAUGCAAGCUAUGAAAUUGUUACUACAGCAAGCGUUGGAACAUUUGUUAACGAAGGAAGUUUAUGAAAAUACGCCUUUGGAUACCCGUCUUCAGGAAUCAAUUCAUCCGUAAUAACAAUUUUCAAGAAGUAUCAACUGCUUUAAGUUCAUCGACAUCACAGAGAUCUUCAACUAAAAUAGUGUAGAUCCGGCCAUCACUAUCCCUUCUACUGCUCUUUUCCUUUAGAGAAUGCUUGAAUUACAUAAUGCGUGUAAGGCAUUCUUAUUCAAGGUCCAAUGAUCAAACCUUGCACAAUAACAACUGAGGUAGUGGUUCCUUCGCCAGCCUAACCCUUGGUCUCAGGAAUGUCCUCAACAGGGUGCUCGAAAUCAACCUAAAAAUCAAGAAUGAGUUGGAAAACUGUUUAUGGCCCUAAAGAACUUGAAAAUCAGAAAAGAUUAAGAAUGAGUGACUAAACAUUUUAAUCGCAACUAAACAUACAAACCUUGAAAAUCUAACUUUGAAGUACUCUUGAAUGAAUGAGCAAUUGCACGAGCUGGUGACAACUAAGGUUACUGUGAAGUCUCUUACAAAUCCUUAAAGAUGAUACUUUACAUACCACGAUAACCUGAUAACACAUAGGAACACAAUGAACAUUAAAGUGUAUUCUGACAAUGCAAAUUUGUGGAAAUUAUCAGCUGUGGUUACCUGGACAAUAUUGCCAACACCAAGCUCUUUCCUCAAUUGAAACAUAUGAUCAGCCCACAAAUGCUUUGCUUUGUAGCUUUUGAGAGCCUGAAAUUGUUAUCACAACCAACAGUGAAAAUUGGGUGAAAAAAUUGAUAUUAGCAUAAUUCCGUAUGUUUAUAUAGGAUAAACCGAUCAAAGAAUAAAAAAAGAUAAAAACAGAGCAGACCCAGCCAUCACUUUCUUCUUCAAAGUCGCACAAUAACCACAAUGGUAGUCGUUCCACUGCUAGCCUAAUCCUUGGUCACCCCAAUGUUCACCAUGAAGUAUUCAAAGUCAACCUAAAAAUAAAUAAAAAUGCAAUGCAUGUGGAAAUGAAAAUUCUAUAAAUUAAAUAAAAUAAAAAUGCAAUGCUUGAGCUUGAGCUUGCUUUAGCAUCAUCGUAAUAGUAAAUUUUGAUAUAUCUUUACUUCUCUGUUCUUGUUUAUUCACAACAAGAUAUCAAUAGAAGAAGAUGGAAAUGAAAUUCUAUAAAAUAAAGCAAGUGAAUUACCAGCAGAACAUUUUAGCAAUCCUUUGGCUAAACUUUUCAUUUUCUUAGCAUACUCUCCUGCCUGCAUCAUUAAAACCAAAUUAGAUUGGACCUGUGAAUUGCUAGUGUGGUUCUGACAUUUCCUCGAGUCCCUGGUGAACAUAACUAAACUCGUAUGAAACAAUUACACAAUUACUUUAAAGAAUUAAUGUCACAUAAAUUAUAUAUAAAAAAAUACGAUUAUCAUUAUACAAGAUAAAAUUGAUAAUUUAGUUUUCAACAUUACUGCAAAUGUAUCACAGAGAUUUUUUCUCUCAGGAAGUUACACAUAACAACUUUUCGUACAUUAAAAAAUAAAUUACAUUGGGAUUUUCUAUUAUGUUGUAUCAAAUUUUAUAAAAGAGCACAAAUUUUUUAAAAGAAAAUAUAGAAAUUUCAACAUACUACGCUUGGUUUUUUUUUAAUUAUUUAAUCUUUAGAAAACAAGUUUAACAGAUUUGAUAACUAGGAAGUUUUACAUAUUUAUACCAUGAUUGAUUCUAUAUAGAAUUUUAAUUCAAAAUAUAAUUAUUUUUAUUAAUUUCAUUGUAAGCAACAACGAAGUAAAUCAGAGGAGGAGAAAUUACCAGCGAGUGAUAUCUUACGGCGACCACUUGAUGUGGGGAAUGUGGGAUAUCUUAUACCAGUCUUCUCCUUCCCCCUCUCUAUAACGGUUUUCCAGAAUGAGACAUCUCCAAAUUGUCAAUUCCUGCAGCGUCGUCGUCCGAAGAAGGUAAUCCGGCAGCACCUUUAAUUUGGGGCAAUCCCAAAUUCGCAAGGAAGAAAGACGUAGUAUGUCUGUUGUCCUGCGAUCUUCUAGAACGGGCAGUUCUUCUAGAAGAUAACAAGAAUAAAUACUCAGUUCCUGCAGUGUCGUCGAUUGAAGAAGGUAAUCCGGCAGCACUUUUAAUCUGGGGCAAUAAGAAAUCUCCAAGGAAGAAAGACGUGGCAUGAUGGAGAUGUUUUCCGUCCUCGUAAUCCUGUAAUUCCACUCUUCCACUUCAUCAAAUUCGCCAAUUUCGAGAGAUUUCAAUUUGGGGAAGGCAAUAACUGAUGAUGACGAUGAAGAUGAAGAUGGGUCGUCCUCACUGCUUUCUUUUAUUCCCAAAAACUCAUUACCUACUCUUUUUACACUUUCAAAGCCGCGUAGUUCGAGUUUUUCCAGAGGCAAUUUUCCCAAAGGAGGCAAAUGCUCACAGUUUACGCAGUAGAAAAGGCUUAAAUCCCUUAGAUUGGUUAGUGAAGUCAACCAUUUGGGAAAAAUGUUGCCUCCGUAGAAUAUAAUCCUUAACUCCUCUACAUUCAAAGGCGGUUGUAAGGCUUCAAGAAGUUGUUUAUCUUUCUCGUUCUUCCUCCUCCCUUCUUCGCCCUCCCCAUCUACGACUCCACCAAACUCAAGAUGCAAACGAAGGAGGUUUUUCUUAUUGUAAAGUUGUAACCUCUCAGCCUCAUCUACAUGCGAUACAUUACUCAGCCCUUCUACUCUACAUUCACGAAGGAGUUGAAGAUUUUUCAGAGAUUCAAGCCUACACGUAUUGCUACCAUCAACACCUCCACCCACCACAAACUUUUCUAAUGUUCGAAGGCUAGUCAAUUUGGAAAUCCCUAUUGGCAGGUACUUCAACGAACGAGUUUUAUCAUUCAGUAAACUCCUCAUGUUCAUUAACUUCCCAAUCCCUGCAGGCAAUUCUCUAAGAUAUUCGCACUGCCUAAUAUCUAGCUUUUGUAAAUUAUAUAAUUGACACAAAGUCUCAGGUAGUCUCUCUAACCUUAAUCCAGACAAAUUAAGAUAUUUUAAAUGUAUCAAUUUUCUAACUUUUUCUGGAAUUUCUAUAAUCAAAUUUGCCUCAGGAUGAAAACCUAAAAUGUGAUAUUGCCUCAUAACUAAUGCCCUCAAACACGCCAAUUUACUAAAUAACUCCGAAAGGAUGCUACUACUAAGAGGCCGACUGUAAGGACUUUCAUCAUAAAUUAAUAAGGUACGCAAUCUAUUAAGUCCAUGAAUGGACAUAGGAAAUGAAGUGCCUCUUUGAAAAUUUAACCCUAAGUGACGGACUUUGUCACCAAAAGAGUUUAUGACUGAUUCUUUGGUACCAUUAAUUUCUACCCACAAACAUUCUUUUCUACUUACAAAUUGGGCAAAAUCAUGUACUAUGUCAUGCAUCUUACACCCCAGAAUAUCAUCAUUGUCAUCAUCUUUUUCAAACUCUUGAAAGAAAGAGCGUGUUGCUAAGAUGUUGAAAUAUUCUUCUCCGAUCAUCUCCAUUUCUUCGUCUUCAUCUGCAUUAAGGUAACCUUGAGCCAUCCAUAGAUUAAUCAAUUCCCUUUUAUUCAUAUUGUAGUCUUUUGGAAAGACAGCACAAUAUGAGAAACACCGUUUUACCAUAGAAUUGGAGGGCAAAUCGUUAUAACUCAACAACAAAGGAGCCAAAAUACCUUGCCCAAUCUCUUCUACUUUCCACAUUUCACUCUCUAAAAUUCUUUGCCACUCUUUUAUUGUACUUUUAGAGCGCAAGAGAUUCCCUAUUACCUUUGCAGCAAGAGGUAGGCCUUUGCACUUACAUGCAAUUUUUCGCCCGAUUGGUUCUAAUUUUUCACAAUCCUCAAAGGACCUACGUAGAAAUGCUAUCUGCUUAAACAGUAACCAACAUUCCCCUUCACCCAACUCCUUGACAGGGAUAAUAUCUAUUGAUCCCAACUGCAGUGCAACUGACCUAUCACGUGUGGUAAUUAGAAUUUUACUUUCAUGGUGGCCAUUCUUUAGACAAGAAAAGAAUGGGUCCCAUUUUUUGUAAUCUCCAUCCCACACAUCAUCUAAAACAAGAAAAAAUUUCUUCCCCGUAAUAUAUUCCUGAAUCUGUUUCAUAAGAGAUUCGAAUUCGCUUAAACCAGAAGCUGACGCGCCUAGACUUUCAAUGAUUGCUUUGGCGACCCUAAUCUCCUCAAAAGUGUCUGAUACACACACCCAUAUAACUUUUUCAAAAUUUCUUUUCACCUCAUCAUUAUUAUAGGCCAGUUGUGCAAGAGUGGUUUUACCUAUACCCCCUAACCCAACUAGUGAGAUGACAUGAAGGCCUUUUUGUUGUUCACUACUUUCACACAACAACUUGCUUAAGAGCUCAUUUUUCUCAUCAACUCUACCGCAAACCUCUCCCUCAUCAAUCAAGGAGGUGGUUCGCACUCGCUCUGGUUUCUUAACAUUGCUGCUCACAUUCUCAACAAAUUUAAACGUAUCUUUUUGGGAGGCAAUAUCAUCUAGCUUUCCAUUGAUUUCCCUGAUCUUGACGGCAAUGUCAUGACGAAGACUAAGUUGUUUGAAACUACCAAAGCAGUUUGAUACAGCACAAAAGAAGGAGCGUACCUUCUUAUGAGGAGCAAGAGCAAAAGCAUUGUCAUCAUCAACGCCCUCAAUCUGCAAUUUGAGCCUUGCAGUGGUCCACUCCUCCAACACGUCUUCCAUGUCGUAAGAUGCGUCUUUGAGUUGAUCCAGCCAAAAAGUAACAGCAUUGUCGCGCUGCAUUUGCCUUUUCUCUGCAUCUUCCAGCACAGCUCGAAUGGCUCGAAGAUUGCUGGUAAGCUUUUUCACUUCUUCUCCGACACCAGUCACAAGCCUCACCUGUUGUUUCACUUCAUCAGCCGCAACGGAGAUCAGCUGCUCCAGGAGAGAGGAAACGAUCGCAUCAACCAUUCUGACAAAGAAAACGAGAAUUCUGAUGAGUUAUUAGAUGUGCUUUUGUUGCGAAGAUAUGAAAGAAAGGAGUUAUUGCAUUCUUUUAUACUGCAUAGAAAAGGUUUAUGCUUAUCCCCAACCCACACGUCAAUGAUUGUAGAAUGUUUAAUUUCCCUGAUUCUACUCCACUAGUUGUAAUAUUCUCAAGUUAUGUAUGAAAAUAGCACAAAUUUGGACCUACUGAUGAUUUUUAUGUAUUUUUUCAUAAUCUUCUAAAAUACUGUAUCUGCAUGUUAUUUCGUGCAGAAAUAUGGCAUUGGGUGAAAAAAGUUAUGCUUAUCCCCACCCACACGUUAGUAAUUGCAGUAGCAUCUUUAAUUUCCCUGAUUCUACUCCACGGACGAACACAUUUUUUGUACUAAUAUCUUUAAAUUCCCACACGUUAGGAAUUUGGCACAUAAUCUCAAACUCGUCCCAUCUUUAACGUAUGAGGUUGAUGAAUGAAUUCUUUUCUCAUGUGAAUUUAAAACUCCGAGAUUAUGUGCCAAAUUCCUAACGUGUGGGAAUUUUACCUCCUAAGUAAUCCGGCCCACUGCCAAGUGCCAACUUUUUCUCUGUCGAGUUAAUGAUGUUGUUUUGUUUUCCUUGUUUUAAUUAAUGUUGCGGUGAGAAAAAGAUCGAUGUAAAUGGCUAGCCAGGUUUUGCAGAAACCAUGAAUGGUCUUGCAUGCAUGGGUGGCUUUAAGUAUAGGCCAAAAAGAUGGUCGUCUAAGGCCCCAAAUUUUAAAAAAGCUACAAUUUUUUAAUAUUAAUAAUAAUUCUCUUAUUAAUAAAAUCUUUUAAAAAAAUUAUAUGUGUGGUAGAAAAGCCUAUUAGACAUAUCUCUAAUUAAUAAUUAUCCUAUAAUUAAUAUUUUUUUUAUAUAAAAACCUAUAAUUGGUUAUCUUAUUGUUAAAGAGAUAUAAUUAAUAAUAUUGUUUAACCAUUAAUUUAUUCAUUAUUAGUUUUUCUAAUAAAAAUAAGUAAAUUUUUUUAUCUUUUCAACUUCUUAAAAAAAAACUUAAUUAUUCAACAUUAGAAUAUUUGGCUUUGAGUAUUUCUUUUAAUUUCUACUAAAAAUCUUAUAAUCUAAAAAAUUAUAGAUGAAAAAUUUCUUAUUAUCUUCUCUACGAUGAAGAUUAUUACAUGCAUUAGUUCAUUCAAAAAAGAAAAAUAAAAAAUUAGUUACUUGAAAUACAAAGUCCAUAUCCAUUAUCUAAAAUCAGUUCAUAAUCUCAACUUUUUAUGUGCUACCAUUCUAAAUAUUCUAUUUGAAAAUAGUAUUGUUCUCAUUUAUUCGUUUGCUUCUUUUUGUAAAAUUUCUAAUGAUAAAUUUUAGAUUUUGUUUUCAAAAAUUUUUAGAAUCUUCUUGAUUAUUUGUUGAAAUUCAAGAAUAAAAACUGAAAUGGAUUUUCAGUUCUUUAUUGUUUUAUUGAAUAUUGAAAUUACUAAAUAAAAAGAGGUCUCAUAAAAAAAAAAAAAAAAAAAAGUUCGUCUAAGGCCCCUAAUACUAUAAGCCGGCCCUGCUUGCAUGUGACAUAAAGCUUUAUAGCUUAUUCCUCCAUCAACAUUUCAAUGGUUCCAUCUCACGUGCACUUGGCUAUGAAUAAGGUCCAUGCAUGGAUCGAUCGAUUUAGGAGUUUUGGACCAUCUCAUGCUGCAGAGUUAUGUGUCAUGUAUGUGUGUUGACACUUGCCAGUUCAUUUUUGUUAUAAAGAUUAUUGAUACUCAUAAAUGCACUACUUACAAAUCAUAAAUUUUGAGUUUGACACUUUAGUUUCAUUUUGUAAUCCCUACGCUCUUUAAAUAUUUGUAACAAUAUAUUUCAAACUUUAACUCAGACGUAAUGAAUGAAGGGGGAUCCUCUUCUUAUAUAAAUUUUUAUUUUUUAACGUUCAAGUUACAUUUGAUUACGUGUACUUAUUAUCUAGUUUUGACUAUCUAAUUACAUUUGAUUACGUGUACUUAUUAUAUAAAUUUUUUUAAAAAUGAUGGGUUUGGUGAGAUUUUUUACAUCUUGGAUCAGUAGGUCAAGAACAGGCAGGGCAGGGCCUUCUCUGAAGUCAAUCUUGUGAGCAACACCAGCUUUUUGGAUAAUUGGCAGCCCCAAUUCAUAAUUUUCUCUAUUGAUGUCCAUGGCCAAAAUCUGCAACCGAAGCUUAUUCUACUCUUAUUAAUCGAGAGAUAAUUUUACCUCUAAUUAAUUUAAUUGGGAGGAAAAUCGAGAGAGAUAUCCACUCUGUCCUUAUUAAUUGAGAGAUAAUUUUACCCUUACCCAAUUUAAUUGGAAAGGAAAUCGAAUUCCAACAAUAACUAGGACUUGAAUCCAUGCACUUAAGCUAACUUUAAGUUUUUGGACGCAUGGUUAUAAUGUUCUUUAUUUAAAUCCUAACAAAUGGUGGGACUUGAACUUGUGCCUACAAACAUUGAGUGCUUAGGGGCUGCAAAAUUUCAUAACUUAAUUUUAGUUGAUGUGGCAUAUGCCCUAUCACAUAAAUGUAGGUAAUAAUAAUUAAUACAUUAACAAAAUGAAAAAUAUUAGUUUACAAAACACAAAUCCAAAAUUUUUGUGUGACAGGGGAUUUAAAAGGGAGAGACUAAAUAAAUGUGGUGAAAAACGACAUGUAUUACUAAAAUUGAAAAUACGAAGUCUAGGCAAUUGAAAACAUCGGGUUUUUUAUUUAAAUAUCCCCAAUUUGUCCUUAAAUACCAAAUUUAUACUCUAUUAUAUACAUAUACCUUACGAAGAUAGGGAAGGUAAAAAAUAACCUUAAAAAAAUCAAGAAUCCACACAUUUCUUCCUCUCAGUGCAGGAAGAUGUCGAGUACGAAGUCGGGUAAGUCGAGAAUUUAGUUGAGCAAGAAUUGGAGAUAAGUAAGUCGAGUAUAUAAUCCAGUAGGAAAUUGAGUAAGCAUAUUAAAUGAGUCGAGUAUUAAGUGGUCGAGUAUUAAAUAAAAGUCAAGUGAAUUUUUUGAACAAGUCGAGUAAAAUUUAUGUAAUUUUUAAAAAGGUCAAGUAUUAAGUCGGGCAAGUACAUUGGGUCGAGUAUUAAUAUUUUUAAGGAAGUGAAGUCUAGUAAGUUGAGCAUUCAGUCGAGUGAGAAAUGAAGGCAAUUGAAUAAGUCGAGUAUCUAGUCGAGUACGAAGUCGGGUAUGAAGUAUGGUAAGUUGAGCAUUCAGUCGAGUGAGAAGUUAAGGCAAUUGAAUAAGUUGAGUAUCUAGUCGAGUACAAAGUCGGGUAUGAAGUUUGAUAAGUUGAGCAUUCAGUCGAGUGAGAAGUGAAGGCAAUUGAAUAAGUCGAGUAUCUAGUCGAGUACGAAGUCGGGUAUAAAGUAUGGUAAGUUGAGUAUUCAGUCGAGUGAGAAGUUAAGGCAAUUGAAUAAGUUGAGUAUCUAGUCGAGUACGAAGUCGGGUAUGAAGUUUGGUAAGUUGAGCAUUCAGUCGAAUAAGAAAUGAAGGUAAUUGAAUAAGUCGAGUAUCUAGUCGAGUACGAAGUCAAGUCUGAAGUCUGGUAAGUUAAGCAUUCAGUUGAGUAAGAAGUGAAAGCAAUUGAAUAAGUCUAGUAUCUAGUCGAGUAAGCAGAUUGAAUGAGUCGAGUAUUAAUUUUUUGUUGGCAUUUUGUUGAGGUUAUUUUUGUACUUUCUUCGGUUUUUUAAGUAUGUAUAUGUAAAGUUACAGAUUUUAAUAGAUUGAGAUAUAUUUUGGAUGGUACGAGAGAAACGGGGUAUAUCCCACGCAAUUCCUUCGAAAACAUAUCUGUCAAUUGCAAUGAAAAGAUCACAACCCUUCGUAAUUAAACAAAAUCAAACUUGAAAAAAAAAAAUCACACACACAAAACAAUCACAAAAACUAUUUGUUCUGAUCAUCCCUGCUUUUUUUUAGCGUAGCUCUUGGAAUGAAAAUUAACAAAAAGUGUCAAAAGAGAAGCAUUAAACACAGCAUUGAAGCACCAACCCAAAAUCCCAGAGCAACCAAAUCCCGUAAAAUGAUAAUACAGCAUCAAAACCGAAACAACAAAACUAAACACAAACUGAACAAUCUGACAAUCAGUGACCAAUCUCUUCCACUUUGGCCGCAACACCAUCACACACAAUAGAUAGUACCCGUACAUGAUCACAUGCACACUUGCAUUGGUCACAAGUGCAAUAGGAAACAAAGACUGCUUCGUCUGUAACCAAAGGUAGCACAUUACGACGACGGUUGCAUGGUGGUAGACGUGGAGGAACGUGAGCCGUUGGAUGGAGUUUGACAAAAUGAUCAAAAGGGUGUCUAGGAAUUCGAGUAUUUUGGAGAGGUAGAAGAUGUAAGCGUAGAAGAAGAGGGGACCGGAGGGAGAAAUGGUGGGGGGAAACAGAGGGUGUGACGGAGGUCGGGUGAAUGGAGGACGAUGGAGAGAGUGCAACCAACGGCCAUGACGAGGGAGAGGAGGAGGAGGGUAAGGUUAUGGACGGCUGUGAUGGGCUUGAGGAUGUGGGGUCCAAUGAGAGGUGAUGAUGAUGGUGAUGUUGGCGUUAAUUUGUGGUAGAGGAUGAAUGUGAGGGAGAGGAAAGUGAGGAUGGAGAGAAUGAGGAAGUGUGGGGAGGAAGCUGGGGUUUGGUUUUGAGUCCACGUGAAGUAGAGGAUUUGGGGAUGGUUUACAAGCCAAUAUUGGAGUGUUGAGGUGAUUGAAUUUGAAGCCAUGGCUGGUUUUUAGGGGGAGGAAAGAUUAGAAAGAGAUGAUGUUGAGAGGAGUGGGGGAGUUUAGAAAGUUUGGGAUAAUGUGAGGGGUAUUUUGGGCAUAUAAUGUUG